This 57128-nucleotide long non-coding RNA is filed under the name Triticum aestivum (bread wheat). RNAcentral describes it as "long non-coding RNA (TAES_LNC009076)". Lineage: Eukaryota; Viridiplantae; Streptophyta; Magnoliopsida; Poales; Poaceae. The record is from RNAcentral.
CGGAUUUAAUAUCAACAAUAAUUGGGUAGGACAAUGAUCUGCUUACAAAAUCAACCCCUAGCUCCUUUCCCCACUGCGUAGUCGAUCUCCACCACCAGGGAGCCUCGAAAUACCUUAUACAAUUCCUUCAGUCCAACAAAAAUAGCGCUAGCGUCGGCCACCUUGACAAUUAUUCAUGCACCCAGCCGCCUAUCUGCAAGCAAUUUUUGCAUCAUCUCUAGUACACUCCAUGCACAUAGUUAGCGUGAUUAUAGCAUUGUAGGCAACAAAAAGGAAUCCAUAUGUAGUCUGAAUCUUAACUGAACUUUUUAGGUUUGACUGUCCAGGAGCUCGGUGACACAAAAUUUGACAACUCAAACUUUAAACCUUACCGGUCUACCAUCAUCCAUGGCAAAUCCACCACACACUUGGCCUCAUAUUGAGAUGGUUCACCACCUUCAUCUCACACGACUUGUCACACUGCAUAUCCACGAGCCAAUCCAGUUAAUGUUUGAUGACUGAAAAAAAUUCAGAGUAAAUCGACGGAUGCAUGAAUAAAUCAAUCGAUGCGUUGCAACGGGAGAAAAAAAACUCACACACAAGCCACCAAGCUCUAGGGCCUUCGUCUCCGACAUGGAAAUCAAGCAUACUCAGCACCCAUGCAAUGGGCCCCACGAUCGUCUUGCACCCCUGCGGCCCAACCGGCGACGUCGUCGGCGAGUCAAGGCAGCGGCGGAGCAGGCACGACAAAGAUGCCACGAGCUGCUUGGCCGCCUUUCCCCAAAAUUCAACACAACAACAAAGGGAACUUGGCUAGAGGUUGCGCAUGAACACUUAACUGCAGCAUGGAUGAUUAAAACUUUCAAUAAUACAAAUUUGGCUGUGCGUUACAGUGGGAUAUACAGUGUAUAUGACGGCGAAAACGGGCAAGGAAAAUAAUAGGAAAUGAUUAAAUGUGUUUGUACCUCCUGACAACAUCCUUUUGCGCUGCAUCACGUAUAGUUAUGAUGUCACAAGCAUGCUCUUGAUGACAACGAUUCACAUGUGCUCGCGACCUACAGAGGAUGGAGAAAAGAAGGGCAGAAGAGGGAGGCUUUCAUCUAUCAAGCAUAAAUAUUUACUGAAUAAAAUCGAUCUAAUCUAUACCAACUUGAGCAGGAUUGUCAAAUAGCUUCCUCUUACAUCAGAAAAUCCAGCACACCAAAUAUAUACAUAUGUUUAGCAAUGACACAGAAAUCAGAUUGUUUCAAAGAUAGUGAGGAACUGAGGAUCCACAUAGGGUUUGAAGAAUUCUGACAAUGUAAACCGUAAUAAGUUACGACCUCCAUCACACAUGUAAUUUUUUCAAAUUGACAAGGCAAGUUAUAGGAACUGUAGCCUAGAAAAUGGUAUGUUCCUGUUUGAGAUCAUUUAUAAAAUCAAUAAAAUAUAAUGACAUUAGGGAUCAAGGACCAAAGAUCAAUUAAGAAAAUUAGAGAUUAGGCAAUCAUACUUACCUUGUAAAGAAUGACACUGAUAGAAUUAGUGAGGGGAUGUGUGGUACGCAAGCCAAUGGAUCCGUGCAUCCUUGAUAACACAUGUACGUACACAAAGGUUGCUGGGUUGAAACUUGAAAGGAGAUUGAAUGAUUGAUUCAUCUGUCAGCCGGACAUACACGAACAUGAUUUUGUUCUGUAUCUUUAGGGAAAGGCAUCCUUUCUUGACCAUAUAUCCAUUACUAAAUGAAGUUAUUUUCAGAUUUUUAACUUGGAAGAUCAAUAAUUAGCCUCAAUCCAUAUUGAGUAUGUAGCAGUCCCCUGUUCUCCUUGAAAAGGAAAUAUUGCAAUUGCACAUUUUGCGUACUCAAAUAAUCAAAUUAAUAAAUUUUGUUAAGAAAAAAUCCUUCAGGUGUGCCUUUUGUUUCUUGAGGGUCCACUGGUUCUGUAGUAUCUAUGUCUAACUUUUUUAGAAUUCAUUUUUUUCUCUUUAUGUGGUGUAUACAGUCAAACUAACUAAUAUGUGCGUUCAAUAGUGAUUAGAAGGUACUUUUAGUCAGUCAGUCAGUUGGAUAAAGAUCAAGCUUGGCACCAAAAAAUUGAGAGAAGAACUGAAUAUGCUUCUUAGAUCAUCGAUCCACCAUUAGAUGAGUCAGGAAAGAAAUCUUCCUUUUUUACAUCAAAGAUAGCACACUACCCACUUCCUUAUUUGUACGAUGGUGUAGUACCAAGCCUAUGCCCCUUCACUAAUCACUCAUACUCUCUCACCUGUUAGAAAUAUUUUGUGGUCUACCCCCUAUUCCUCCGCGCUUAUCCGUGGUGCCACUCACAAUCGCAUAUCUGAGGCUAGGGGGUAGGGACCUUCUUAUACUGCGUUUCCAAAGAGUCCGCCUCUUAUACAGUUAUAAGAUUCCUAGUCUUUAAACUAGUUUCCGGAUAGAGUCCAGAUCAAACUACCAACCACGAUAUAAUUUGUCUGUUAGCGGAUCCUAUCCGUCGAGUCCCCGAAGCACGCGCCUGUGAGCAACGCGUCAUAAUAGAGUAUAAUUCCUCUAUUUAUGUAGAUCAACAUUAGGGCCAUAAUCUAAUUACACGAUCUAGCUUCUUCCAAUUAUCAGCGUACCCGGGUAGUCUUUCCAAUAUAUAAAGCAUAUUGUAUUCCACCAAUAAUUGACCGGCUUCCUUAAGCAUGCAACACUUAAGUACAUUCCAGCAAGAGUAAUUCCAUGCACAAAACACAUGUAUAAUUCCAUAUGAGGUAUUCCAAAUAUUAAUGAUAAUAAGUAUUUGAAUAUAGUUGUAGGACACAUAAUCCCAACAUCUCCCACUUGUCCAAAACGAUCAUUCAAAAAUUCUUAAACCCAUAGCCUGAACAUGUUUACCAAAUACCACCUGACUAAGUGACUUAGUCAAGGGAUCAGCAACCAUAUCAGUACUAGGUAGAAACUCUAAAGAAACAGACUUAAGUCUAUUAAUUACAUCACGUAUAUAGUGAUACCUUCCCUCAAUAUGUUUGAUUUUGCUGUGGAACUUGGGAUAUCUGGAAACCUUUAUUGCAGCCUGAUUAUCACAAUACACCACCACUGGUUUGCUAGCACUUUCAACAAUCUCCAAAGUCGAAAGAAAUUCCUUCAGCCAUACCGCCUCCUUCACAGCUUCUGACGCAGCAAUAUACUCCGCCUCCAUGGAAGAUAAUGCCACUGAAUCUUGCUUCUUACUACUCUAAGAUAUAGCGCCACCAGCUAAUGUAAAUAGAUACCCAGAUGUUGACUUCCGGUCGUCCAGAUCACCCUGCCAAUCAGCAUCAGUAUAGCCCUGCAGCUGUAGAUCCUUUUGGUUAAAACAGAGCGAAUAAUACAGUGUUGCUUGAACAUAACGAAGAGCAUGUUUAAUCUGAUUCCAAUGCCCAGUUCCUGGAUUCACUUGAUAUCUACUCAACACUCCAACAAUAUAGCACAAAUCAGGGCGUGUGAAUAACCUGGCAUACAUCAAAGAUCCCAAGGUAGAAGCAUAUGGAGUCUUCUCCAUUUUCUUCUUUUUCUCAGGAGUUUUAGGACAUACCCUCACUGAGUUUAAUUCCUACAGCCAUGGCCACUAAAGCAGGCUUGCAGUUUUCCAUAGAGAAACGUUUAAGAACAGAUUUUAAAUAAUUCCUUUCAGACAAACCCAAAGUACCUUUAUUCCGAUCUCUAAGUAUUUCCACUCCUUGAACAUAGGAAGCGUUUCCCAUAUCUUUCAUUUCAAAUGUAGAAGAUAACCAAGUUUUAACUUCUACCAACAUUUCCUUACUACUAGAAGCAAUAAGUAUAUCAUCAACAUACAGUGACAAGAGUGUAAAAUUUCCUCCCACUAUUUUAAAAUAAAUGCAAUGAUCUCCUUCCAUCAUAGAAAACCCAUAUGAUGUGAUAGCAUCAUCAAACAAAAUAUUCCAUUGCCGUGAAGCUUGCCUAAGAUCAUAAAUAGAUCUACUUAGCUUACACACUUUUCCCUGAUUUUCCUUUUCAACAAAACCAUCAGGUUGAGACAUAUAAAUCUCUUCUUUCAAAUGACCAUUCAAGAAGGCGGUUUUAACAUCCAUUUGAUGAAGUUCCAGAUCAAACUAAGCAGUCAACGCAGCAAUAAUAGGAAUAGAAGUAAAUUUGGCUACAGGGGAAAAAAUUUCCACAAAGUCAACGCCUUCCCUUUGUGUGUACCCUUUAGCAACCAACCUAGCUUUGUAUUUUUCAACAUCACCAGAAGCAUUCAGUUUCCUUUUAAAAAUCCACUUUGAUCCAAUUGCCUUUCGGUCAUUAGGUAGAUCAACCAAUUCCCAAACUUUAUUCUUUUCCAUGGAGUUUAGUUCCUCACGCAUGGCUUCGAUCCAUAACUUUGAUUCUGAACAAGACAUGGCAUUUUUAAAAGAUUUUGGUUCUUCCUCUAAACUAGAAGUUUUAGAGUAUACUUCCCCCAUAAAUACAUAAUAAUCAUCAAGGUAUGGUGGGGCUGCUACAUUCCUCCCACUUCUCCUAGGUAAACUAGUUAUGGGAGUCUCAACAUUUACGUUUCCAUCAAUUUGAUUUUCCUGAUUGUUAGAAUCGGUUUCAACAUUAGUACCUAACGGGGUUGUCAAUAAUUCCACUCUCGCACGUUUGGCACGGCGAGGUGUAUCUUGAUCUAGAAAAACGGCAUCUCUACUUUCAAUUAACUUCUUCUUCUCCGGAUCAUAAAAUCUAUAUCCAUUUGAACCAGAAGCAUAUCCAAUAAAUAUUCCUGGAAAACUCUUAGGCUCCAGUUUUGUUCUUAGUUGACUAGGUACUCUAAUCUGUGCAUUGCAACCCCACACUGCUAAGUUCAACAAUGUAGGUUUCCUCCCUUUCCAUAAUUCAUAAGGAGUAGAACUAACAGAUUUAGAAGGCGAAUGAUUAAGCAAGUAAACAGCCGUAUGAAGAGCCUCUCCCCAAAAAGAUAAAGGAAGAUCAGAAUAUGCCAUCAUAGACCUAACCAUGUCCAUUAAAGUUUUAUUCCUCCUUUCAGCUACGCCAUUUUGCUGAGGAGUAUAAGGUAAGGUAUAAUGAUGAACAAUUCCAUUUUCCUAGCAAAAAUCAUCUAAUAUUCCUGAUGUGUAUUCACCACCACGAUUAGUUCUAAGCACCUUGAUCUUUUUGUUCAACUGAUUUUCUACCUCAGCUUUAAAUACCUUGCACAUGUCAAAACCUUCCGACUUAUGCUUAAUUAAGUAAACAUAGCCGUAUCUAGAGAAAUCAUCUAUAAAAGUAAUGAAAUAGACCUUCUGCCCAAAUGUAGGUACAGACAUCUCGCCAAAAAUAUCUGAAUGAACAAUAGCAAGUGGUUCAGUAGACCUUGACGCUUUAGGAACAGGCGCCCUGUCAUUUUUCCUACAACACAUGCCUCACAAAUGCCAUAGUCUUCCCACUUGAAGUUUAAAAUUCCAGAACUAAUUAGCCUUUUAAUUAUGUUCUUUGAGAUAUGACCCAAACGAAGAUGCCAGAGAUAUGAUACUGAACAAUUAUUGUCUCCAUCUAUAUUCCUCACUUCCAAGUUCUGUUCAGUCACCAUACAAUCCAUCCUAUCAAUGUCCAUAAAAUCCUCAAUAUAGUAGAGACCAUCAAAUCUAUUUCCUGGUUGAACUAAAUUUCCAUUCAUCAGUACUUUAAAUUUGCCAUCUCCAAAUAAGACCUUAAAACCAAUAGAUUCAAGUCUAGAAACAGAGAUUAAAUUCUUUCUCAUGCUAGGGGAAUAAACUGUGUCUUUCAAAAUUAAUUUUCCUCCUCCAGGGAGUUUGAGUGUAUAAUCACCUAUGCCCAAAAUAUCAGCUUUUGCAGUUGUUCCUAGAUAAAUAAAUCUAGUUCCUUUCGGUAUGGGUUUUAAAGAGGUGAAACCAGCACUAUUCCUUGCAAUAUGCGAAGUGGAACUAGAGUCUACUACCCGAUGAUCUGAAGCUGGAGUAGUAAACAAUGAUUCAGAACAAACAAAUAGAUUGUACGUACCAUCAGGAGAAGAAUUAUCCUUCUUGUUGCCCUGAUGCUUGUCCUGGUGCUGCUUCUUAGACUUGUCAUAUUGUUUAUAAGGCUUCUUAUUCUUGCACUCAGUUCUAAAAUGCCCAUACUCUCCAUUUGACGCCCCGAUUCAAUCGUACACUAAUCAUACACGCAAAUGUGUACGAUCAAGAUCAGGGACUCACGGGAAGAUAUCACAACACAACUCUAGACACAACUCAAAACAAUACAAGCUUCAUAUUACAAGCCAGGGGCCUUGAGGGCUCGAAUACAAGCUCGAUACACAAGAGUCAGCGCAAGCAACAAUAUCUGAGUACAGACAUUAGUUAAACAAGACUGCCUUAAGAAGGCAAACAGAAAAGCAACAACGAUCGAAGAGGCAAGGCCUCCUGCCUGGGACCUCCUAACUACUCCUGGUCUUUGGCGGCCUCCAUGUAGUUGUAUCCGUCGGCGGUGGCAUCUGGCUCCAGGGAACCACCAUCUGGUUGCAUCAACCGGAAAGAAGAAAGAAGGGGGAAAAGGGUAGCAAAGCAACCGUGAGUACUCAUCCAAAGUACUCGCAAGCAUCAGAUCUAUACUAAGUAUGCAUUGGUAUCAAAUGGAAGGGUUGUAUAUGUGGACUGAACUGCAGAAUGCCAGAAUAGAGGGGAAGGCCUAGCCUAUCGAAGACUAGCAUCUUCAAGCAGCUCCAAGCAUCUUGCAGCAUGUAGAAGAGUAAAGAAUAGCAGUUUAAUUAACAAGCAUGUUGUAGCAUUAAUGCCCAGAGAUCCUUCCUCGACUCCCUGCGAGAAAGCAAUCCCGGAGCAACAUAUCUCAAGUAUCCAUUUCUAGUUGUAAAAGAUCAGGAUAUAAGUCUGAACGUCCAUUACCGUGGACACGGUAUUCGAAUAUAUAUCUUCCCUGCAGGGGUGCACCACGUUUUCCAACACGCUCGAUCACUCUGCCCGGACACACCUUUCUGGGGUCAAUGCCCAGCCUCGGAAGAUCAACACGUCGUAGCCCUACCUAGGCUUAGCAGAGAGGUCCCCGUCGGUCUACAUCCUAAGCACUACGGGGUCUUGGGCCCAUCGCCCGUUGCACUCCGGGUCGUUGCGAGCAGGGUGGAUACUGGCACCGCCUCAGAUGGCCAGCACGAUCCGACCGUGCCGCCAUGCUGAACUGGACGUCUGACAAAGCUUUGGCUGAUACUGCGAUGUCGAGGCCCAUAACUAUUCUCGCGUGGUGGUUAGUGCGUAAAGGCCAGAGGCCAACUCAGAACAAAUACCCAAACCUGUUAGUGAAUUAACAAUUAAAGUAGUGACAGUGAUGUCUACUACGCAACCUUCUUUUUGUAGACGUUGUUGGGCCUCCAAGUGCAGAGGUUUGUAGGACAGUAGCAAAUUUACCUCAAGUGGAUGACCUAAGGUUUAUCAAUCCGUGGGAGGUGUAGGAUGAAGAUGGUCUCUCUCAAACAACCCUGCAACCAAAUAACAAAGAGUCUCUUGUGUCCCCAACACACCCAAUACAAUGGUAAAUUGUAUAGGUGCACUAGUUCGGCGAAGAGAUGGUGAUACAAGUGCAAUAUGGAUGAUAGAUAUAGGUUUUUGUAAUAUGAAAAUAUAAAAACAGCAAGGUGACUAAUGAUAAAAGUGAGCGUAAACAGUAUUGCAAUGCUAGGAAACAAGGCCUAGGGUUCAUAGUUUCACUAGUGCAAGUUCUCUCAACAAUAAUAACAUAAUUGGAUCAUAUAACUAUCCCUCAACAUGCAACAAAGAGUCACUCCAAAGUCACUAAUAGCUGAGAACAAACGAAGAGAUUAUGGUAGGGUACGAAACCACCUCAAAGUUAUCCUUUCUGAUCGAUCUAUUCAAGAGUCCGUAGUAAAAUAACACGAAGCUAUUCUUUCCGUUCGAUCUAUCAUAGAGCUCAUACUAGAAUAACACCUUAAGACACAAAUCAACCAAAACCCUAAUGUCACCUAGAUACUCCAAUGUCACCUCAAGUAUCCGUGGGUAUGAUUAUACGAUAUGCAUAACACAAUCUCAGAUUCAUCUAUUCAACUAACACAAAGAACUUCAAAGAGUGCCCCAAAGUUUCUACCAGAGAGUCAAGACGAAAACGUGUGCCAACCCCUAUGCAUAAGUUCACGAGGUCACUGAACCCGCAAGUUGAUCACCAAAACAUACAUCAAGUAGAUCACGUGAUAUCCCAUUGUCACCACAGAUAAGCACAUGCAAGACAUACAUCAAGUGUUCUCAAAUCCUUAAAGACUCAAUCCGAUAAGAUAACUUCAAAGGGAAAACUCAAUCCAUUACAAGAGAGUAGAGGGGGAGAAACAUCAUAAGAUCCAACUAUAAUAGCAAAGCUCGCGAUACAUCAAGAUUGUACCACCUCAAGAACACGAGAAAGGGAGAGAUCAAACACAUAGCUACUGGUACAUACCCUCAGCCCCGAGGAUGAACUAUUCCCUCCUCGUCAUGGAGAGCGCUGGGAUGAUGAAGAUGGCCACCGGUGAUGGAUCCCCCCUUCGGCAGGGUGCCGGAACAGGGUCCCGAUUGGUUUUUGGUGGCUACAGAGGCUUGCAGCGGCGGAACUCCUGAUCUAUUCUCUUCCCCGAUGGUUGAUACGUCUCCAUCGUAUCUACUUUUCCAAACACUUUUGCCCUUGUUUUGGACUCUAACUUGCAUGAUAUGAAUGGAACUAACCCGGACUGACGCUGUUUUCAGCAGAAUUGCCAUGGUGUUAUUUAUGUGCAGAAACAAAAGUUCUCGGAAUGACCUAAAACUCCACGGAACUUAUUUUUGGAAAAUAAUAAAAAUACUGGAAGAAGAAUCCACGUCAGGGGGGCCUCCACCUGUCCACGAGGGUGGGGGCGCGCCUGCCCCCUGGGCGCGCCCCCUGCCUCGUGGGCCCCCUGACGCUCCACCGACCUCAACUCCAACUCCAUAUAUUCGUGUUCGGGGAGAAAAAAAUCAGAGAGAAGGAUUCAUCGUGUUUUACAAUACGGAGCUGCCGCCAAGCCCUAAAACCUCUCGGGAGGGCUGAUCUGGAGUCUGUUCGGGGCUCCGGAGAGGGGAAUCCGUCGACGUCGUCAUCAUCAACCAUCCUCCAUCACCAAUUUCAUGAUGCUCACCGUCGUGCGUGAGUAAUUCCAUCGUAUGCUUGCUGGACAGUGAUGGGUUGGAUGAGAUUUAUCAUGUAAUCGAGUUAGUUUUGUUAGGGUUUGAUCCCUAGUAUCCACUAUGUUCUGAGAUUGAUGUUGCUAUGACUUUGCUAUGCUUAAUGCUUGUCACUAGGGCCCGAGUGCCAUGAUUUUAGAUCUGAACCUAUUAUGUUUUCAUGAAUAUAUGUGAGUUCUUGAUCCUAUCUUGCAAGUCUAUAGUCACCUACUAUGUGUUAUGAUCCGGCAACCCCGAAGUGACAAUAAUCGGGACAACUCCCGGUGAUGACCGUAGUUUGAGGAGUUCAUGUAUUCACUAUGUGUUAAUGCUUUGGUCCUGUACUCUAUUAAAAGGAGGCCUUAAUAUCCCUUAGUUUCCAUUAGGACCCCGCUGCCACGGGAGGGUAGGACAAAAGAUGUCAUGCAAGUUCUUUUCCAUAAGCACGUAUGACUAUAUUCGGAAUACAUGCCUACAUUACAUUGAUGAAUUGGAGCUAGUUCUGUGACACCCUAUGUUAUGACUGUUACAUGGUGAACCGCAUCCGGCAUAAUUCUCCAUCACCGAUCCAAUGCCUACGAGCUUUUCACAUAUUGUUCUUCGCUUAUUUACUUUUCCGUUGCUACUGUUCCAAUCACUACAAAACCCAAAAAUGUUACUUUUGCUACCGUUACCCUUACUUCCACACUACUUUGCUACUAAAUACUUUGCUGCAGAUACUAAGUUAUCCAGGUGUGGUUGAAUUGACAAAUCAACUGCUAAUACUUGAGAAUAUUCUUUGGCUCCCCUUGUGUCGAAUCAAUAAAUUUGGGUUGAAUACUCUACCCUCGAAAACUGUUGCGAUCCCCUAUACUUGUGGGUUAUCAAGACUAAUUUUUGGCGCGGUUGCCGGGGAGCAUAGCUCUAUUCUUUGAGUCACUUGGGAUUUAUAUCUGCUGGUCACUAUGAAGAACUUGAAAGACGCGAAAACAAAAAAUUAUCCCUCAACUACGAGGGGAGGUAAGGAACUGCCAUCUAGCUCUGCAUUUGAUUCACUCUCUGUUUUGAGUAAGCUUGCGACAUCUAAACCUACUUCUGCUAUUAAUUCUGAUAUGUCGCAUGUUAUUGAUGAUGCCACUUCUGCUAUGCAUGAUACUUAUGAUGAAACUACUUCUAUGCUUGAUACUACUGUGCCACUUGGUGAAUUUCUUAAUGAACAACUUGCUAGGGCUAGAGAGAAUGAAAUUAUUGAAACUGAUAAUAUUGAAGAUAGUGAUGAUGAAGACUCUCCCCCUAAUAAAUAUGAAUUGCCUGUUGUGCCUGAGGGUUAUGUUCUGGAUGAAGAAUCUGCUAGAGCCAUUCUUGCUUGCAAUGAUAGAAGUGAUCUUAAGAAGUUAUUAGCUAAAUGGAAGCAGCAAUCUCUUAAUGCUAGAAUGAAACUUGACCUUGCUUUUGCUACUUCACCUAUCUGUGUUACUGAUAAGGAUUAUGAAUUCUCUGUUGAUCCUGAUAUAAUUACUUUGGUUGAAUCUGAUCCUUUCUAUGGUUAUGAAUCUGAAACUGUUGUGGCACAUCUUACUAAAUUAAAUGAUAUAGCCACCCUAUUCACUAAUGAUGAUAGAACUCGCUACCUUUAUAUCCUUAAAAUAUUUCCGUUCUCAUUAAAGGGUGAUGCUAAGAUAUGGUUUAAUUCUCUUGAUCCUGGUUGUGUGCGUAGUCCCCAGGAUAUGAUUUAUUACUUCUCUGCUAAAUAUUUCCCUGCUCAUAAGAAACAAGCUGCUUUAAGGGAUAUAUAUAAUUUUGUGCAAAUUGAAGAAGAGAGUCUCCCACAAGCUUGGGGGAGGCUUCUCCAAUUACUUAAUGCUUUGCCUGAUCAUCCUCUCAAGAAAAAUGAAAUACUUGAUAUAUUUUAUAAUGGACUAACCGAUGCUUCCAGAGAUUACCUGGAUAGUUGUGCUGGUUCUGUUUUCAGGGAAAGAACACCGGAUGAAGCUAAAAUUUUAUUGAAUAAUAUGUUGACAAAUGAAAAUAAUUGGACACUUCCUGAGCCAAUUCCUGAGCCUAUUCCUAAACCAACUCCGAAGAAGAGGGGUGUUCUAUUUCUUAGUCCUGAAGAUAUGCAAGAGGCAAAGAAAUCUAUGAAAGAAAAAGGUAUUAAAGCUGAAGAUGUUAAGAAUUUACCUCCUAUUGAAGAAAUACAUGGUCUAAAUUUACCGCCUGUUGAAGAAACAUAUGAUCUUAAUCCUUCACCUAUUGAAGAAACUCAUGGUCUUGAUAACCCGACACAGGUAGUAAAGGUAAAUUCUCUCUAAAGAUAUGAUAAAGCUGAAAUCCCUCCUAUUAAGUUUGCUAGCCAAUGUUUGGAUGAGUUUGAUAACUUUAUGGUUACGCAAGAAGACUUUAAUGCUUAUUUUGGUAGACAAUUAAAACAAAAUGCUUAUAUGAUUGAACACUUGGGUGAUUAUAUGUCUAGAGUUAAAGGUGAACUUAAACUCAUUAGUAAACAUGCUUCUAUAGUUACCACUCAAGUAGAACAAGUACUUAAAGCUCAAAAUGAUUUGCUCAAUGAAUUGAAUACUAAGAAUAAUGACUAUGCUGUUAGAGUGGCUACUAGAACUGGUAAAAUGACUCAGGAACCUUUGUAUCCUGAAGGCCACCCUAAGAGAAUUGAGCAAGAUUCUCAGAGAAAUAGUAUUGAUGCACCUAGUCCUUCUAGAAGGAAGAAAAAGAAAAAUGAUAGGACUUUGCAUACUUCUAGUGAACCUAUUACUGAAACACCUGAGAAUCCAAAUGAUAUUUCUAUUUCUGACGCUGAAACACAAUCUAGUAAUGAACAUGAACCAAGUGAAAAUAUUAAUGAAGAUGUUCAUGAUGAUGCUCAACCUAGUAAUGAUAAUGAUGUAGAAAUUGAACUUGUUGUUGAUCUUGAUAACCCACAAUCAAAGAAUCAAUGUUAUGAUAAGAGAGACUUUGUUGCUAGGAAGCACGGUAAAGAAAGAGAACCAUGGGUUCAGAAACCCAUGCCUUUUCCUCCUAAACCAUCCAAGAAAAAGGAUGAUGAGGAUUUUGAGCGCUUUGCUGAAAUGAUUAGACCUAUCUUCUUGCGUAUGCGUUUGACUGAUAUGCUCAAAAUGAAUCCUUAUGCUAAGUAUAUGAAAGAAAUUGUCACUAAUAAAAGAAAGAUACCGGAAGCUGAAAUUUCCACCAUGCUUGCUAAUUACACUUUCAAGGGUGGAAUACCUAAGAAACUAGGAGGAGUACCAACUAUACCAUGCUCCAUUAAAAGAAACUAUGCUAAAACUGCUUUAUGUGAUCUUGGAGCCGGUGUUAGUGGUAUGCCUCUUUGUUUAUAUCGUAGACUUGAUUUGAAUAAGUUGACACCUACUGAAAUAUCUUUGCAAAUGGCUGAUAAAUCAACUGCUAUACCUGUCGGUAUUUGUGAGGAUGUGCCUGUUGUAGUUGCAAACGUUACUAUUUUAACGGACUUUGUUAUUCUUGAUAUUCCCGAGGACGAUAGUAUAUCUAUUAUUCUUGGAAGACCCUUUUUGAAUACUGCAGGGGCUGUUAUUGAUUGCAACAAAGGCAAUGUCACUUUUCAUGUUAAUGGCAAUGAGCAUAAGGUACACUUUCCGAGGAAACAACCUCAAGUCCACAGUAUCAAUUCUAUUGGAAAAACUCCAUCGAUUAUUUUUGGAGGUUUUGAAUUUCCUCUACCUACUGUCAAGAAGAAAUAUGAUAUUCUUAUUAUUGGGGAUGUGCAUAUCCCCGUUGAGGUAACAUAGUGUUAUUCGAAAUUUCUUCGGUUCCAUGUUAGACCGAAUGAGUUUGUUAACAAGACCUGAUCAACCUUGUUAGUGGAUUCCUUUUGAUGAGCAUGAGAUGGAUGAAGUUAGAAAGCACAACCAUCUGUACCCUCUCUCUACUUUCUGUUAUUUAGUUGAAAUAAAGCAAAAAUAGUAUUUUUUCUGUCAGCUUUCUGAAUUAUCCGUUCAAUAUAAAAAUACCCCAAAAAUAGAAGUUCUCCAAAUGCCCUGAAAAUGGAAUAUGAUUUUUCUGGAAUAUUUGAGAAUAUCUGGCACUGAGAACACAGCAGGGGGAGCAAGCACCUGGCCACGAGGGUCCAGGGCGCGCCCACCCCUACAGGCCGCGCCCCCUGCCUCGUGGGCCCACGGUGGCUCCCGUCCACUUAUUCCUUGUGACGCCUGUAUAAUCAAGCUACAGUAACCUCUGCUAAUGAUGCCACGCCACCUCGAUUACUGUUGCUAAUCUCGCGUUAGUUCGAAACCAAUUCGAACUUCAAAUUCAAAAUAAAAGCACACAUUAAAAGCUUUCAAACAUUAAAACCAAAAUGUUAUUUUGGUUGCAAAUAAUCACUACUGAAUUGUCGUGCAGGAACCAACAUUAAUGAGUUAAUAAAAUGUCAUUAACCUAUUUUUAAAUUAGACCAACAACACUUAAGUGGACCAUGUAAAUUCAAACCGAAUUUUAAAACAUUUCAAAAUAAUCUCAAACUUGGGGAACAAUAGCAAAAUAUUACCAAGUAUUUGUGUGACAGGUUUCAUAUGCAACUAAAUUCUUUUGUUGGCCCAAAAUAAAUACCGAACGGAGACUAAAAGGAAAACAGAAAAGUUAAAAAUAAAUAAAUAGAAAAGACCCCCCCNNNNNNNNNNNNNNNNNNNNNNNNNNNNNNNNNNNNNNNNNNNNNNNNNNNNNNNNNNNNNNNNNNNNNNNNNNNNNNNNNNNNNNNNNNNNNNNNNNNNNNNNNNNNNNNNNNNNNNNNNNNNNNNNNNNNNNNNNNNNNNNNNNNNNNNNNNNNNNNNNNNNNNNNNNNNNNNNNNNNNNNNNNNNNNNNNNNNNNNNNNNNNNNNNNNNNNNNNNNNNNNNNNNNNNNNNNNNNNNNNNNNNNNNNNNNNNNNNNNNNNNNNNNNNNNNNNNNNNNNNNNNNNNNNNNNNNNNNNNNNNNNNNNNNNNNNNNNNNNNNNNNNNNNNNNNNNNNNNNNNNNNNNNNNNNNNNNNNNNNNNNNNNNNNNNNNNNNNNNNNNNNNNNNNNNNNNNNNNNNNNNNNNNNNNNNNNNNNNNNNNNNNNNNNNNNNNNNNNNNNNNNNNNNNNNNNNNNNNNNNNNNNNNNNNNNNNNNNNNNNNNNNNNNNNNNNNNNNNNNNNNNNNNNNNNNNNNNNNNNNNNNNNNNNNNNNNNNNNNNNNNNNNNNNNNNNNNNNNNNNNNNNNNNNNNNNNNNNNNNNNNNNNNNNNNNNNNNNNNNNNNNNNNNNNNNNNNNNNNNNNNNNNNNNNNNNNNNNNNNNNNNNNNNNNNNNNNNNNNNNNNNNNNNNNNNNNNNNNNNNNNNNNNNNNNNNNNNNNNNNNNNNNNNNNNNNNNNNNNNNNNNNNNNNNNNNNNNNNNNNNNNNNNNNNNNNNNNNNNNNNNNNNNCGCCGUUUCGCCGUACUGUUGCGGCCGCCGUCGAGGCCGGCGCCCCCCUGGUGGCCUCGGGCCUGCACGCCCGGCGCCCGUAACUGCGCCUGGGUGCCCGAUGCCCAGUGCCCGUUAGCCUCCCCCAGGGCCUAUGACAAAGGGGGGCCGCCGAGAUCGUUUUAAUUAAUUAAUGGACGUUGCUAGGUCUGCUCUCCGGCAGGUGUGCAAUGGGCGAUGGGCCCAGACCCCUACGCGCAUAAGAUUUAGACCGGCGUGCUGACCUCUGUGUUGUGCCUAGGUGGGGCUGCGACGUGUUGAUCUUCCGAGGCCGGGCAUGACCCAGGAAAGUGUGUCCGGCCAAAUGGGAUCGAGCGUGUUGGGUUAUGUGGUGCACCCCUGCAGGGAAGUUUAUCUAUUCGAAUAGCCGUGUCCCUCGGUAAAAGGAUGACCCGGAGUUGUACCUUGACCUUAUGACAACUAGAACUGGAUACUUAAUAAAACACACCCUUCCAAGUGCCAGAUAUAACCCGGUGAUCGCUCUCUAACAGGGCGACGAGGAGGGGAUCGCCGGGUAGGAUUAUGCUAUACGAUGCUACUUGGUGAAUUUACCAUCUACUCUCUUCUACAUGCUGCAAGAUGGAGAUGGCCAGAAGCGUAGUCUUCGACAGGAUUAGCUAUCCCCCUCUUAUUCUGGCAUUCUGCAGUUCAGUCCACCGAUAUGGCCCUUUACACAUAUACCCAUGCAUAUGUAGUGUAGCUCCUUGCUUGCGAGUACUUUGGAUGAGUACUCACGGUUGCUUUUCUCUCCCUUUUCCCCCUUUCUUUUCUCUCUGGUUGUCGCAACCAGAUGCCGGAGCCCAGGAGCCAGACGCCACCAUCGACGACGACUCCUACUACACCGGAGGUGCCUACUACUACGUUCAGGCCGCUGACGACGACCAGGAGUAGUUUAGGAGGAUCCCAGGCAGGAGGCCUGCGCCUCUUUCGAUCUGUAUCCCAGUUUGUGCUAGCCUUCUUAAGGCAGACUUGUUUAACUUAUGUCUGUACUCAGAUAUUGUUGCUUCCGCUGACUCGUCUAUGAUCGAGCACUUGUAUUCGAGCCCUCGAGGCCCCUGGCUUGUAUUAUGAUGCUUGUAUGACUUAUUUUAUUUUUAGAGUUGUGUUGUGAUAUCUUCCCGUGAGUCCCUGAUCUUGAUCGUUCACGUUUGUGUGUAUGAUUAGUGUACGAUUGAAUCGGGGGCAUCACAAGUUUGUAUCAGAACCGACUGCCUGUAGGAAUCUCCCUUCCACACGCCUUGGCCGAAGUCGAGUCUAGACAUUACAAAACUUUUACUAACAUGGUUGUGUGUCUUACGGGCCCACGUCGCCAUUGGGUGGUAUUCGGAUCUUUUACUCCUCGUCUAUACUCUGGGACUCUGGUCUCUCUCCUAUUCGGGUUAAAUGAUCUUGCUAACUCUAACUCUAGGUUCUCGUAAAUACUUUCUCCCGGAGAGCCCCUCGGUACGAACGAUCGCUUGCUUCACCAAAAGAUCCCAAAGACACCCUACGAUGUUCUCUCGAGACUAUGUGCCAUCGCUUUUACAAUUCCCUACCACCAAUGUAUCCUUAUGGAUAACUACCUACAUUUGUCAUCCAUACAUUCAACCCCAGUUGAUCUUGUUAUUACAGAUACACCGAAAUUCUCUCUAUUUUUCCGAGAAUGCUUUGUGCCUACUGCCUUGCAGUUCUUUGCCACCUGAAUACCCCUACGAGUAAUUUCUCGCACUUAUCGAAUAUCCGCUCAUCCCCAGAUGAUUCAUGUAUUUCACGAAAUUCUUCGAAAUACCAUUCGGUCUUCCGAAAAUCCUAAGCAGCCUAUUGCUCCUGAAAUUCUUGCUUGCUUGCGUUAUGGUUAAUACCAUAAAUCUCGUAAUCUUAUUGGCAUCCCUUGUCAUUUUCAUUUUGAGUAUGUUGAUUCAAUAUGUUGCGAAUGCUCGCAAUCCUCAACCAGAUCCUAGGAUUCAUCCUUCCGGCUCAGACGUCAUUUUAAACAUGAGCUGGAUCUCGACCAAUCAAUUUGUCGUCGAUUGUACCCCUAAGCCUACUCAACUUAUCAAUCCUUAAUCAGAGUGUUUGCUUCUGAUCCCUUGAAUUGGAAAUCUUAAUUCCUUUGCAUUUGAGCUUUGAAUUAGUCAGUUUUUUCUAUAAUCCGAUGCCCUUUCGUUCCUUCUUCCUCUGAUAGAGUACCGAUACUCGCAUCAGCUCCGUUGUAGACCACACGACCCCCUUGUUGGAUUAUUAUCCGACAGUGUCCUUCCUAUUCAAUAACCUUGUGAGCCUUUCCAUGGGUAUAUAAUGCCUUUGGUAAUUUGUAUCCUCUGCUUUGAUAACCAUACUGUACUUUUGAGCUUGUACUAUUUACUCCGAAGUUUGUGGUAUAUGUUCCUAAGAUGCCCCGAUGGGUUGAACCAGCGCCUUCCCUAAUUUGUGUGAACCCAAAAGAUUUCACGGGUCAUACUUAUCUGGUAUUGCACCAGGUAAAACUUUCAACAACUAAUGUCAUUUUCUAAAUACGAGAGGUGAAUGGAAGGUUAUGCAUUGAGGAAGUGGGAGUCGACCUUGAACCUUUGUGUUCAUGCCCAUGGACACGAUGUAGAUCCUAACAUGAAAGCUUCUUGUAAUAAUAACUAUUUCCCUGAUAUAAUAUGGUUUGGUAUCGGUGAAUUGAUCCUUUGAAAUCGUGCUUCCGACCAUAUGUUCUUCUUUGAUCCCAUUUCUCGCGCAAGUUUAAGCACUUGUCUUCUGUGGAUCAAUACCCCAGUCCAACCUCUACUUUGAUCUGUCGUCGAGUAUUACCCCCUUGUAUCUCGAGAUUAUCACGAAACUGCAUAACUUCUUAUGAGUUCUUCAUCAAGUACUACAUUCUCACUGAUUCAAUUUUUCACGGGCUCUGAGUUAUUAGACACUCAAAAACACCGAUAAGUGAAUCGGUUCCGCACUCCGAAUCAAUAACUCUAAGUAAUUUUCGUUGCUUACAAGUUUAUUAAUCCUUCAAGUCAUUCCUAACCUGAUCGGCUAUAUCAUUAUCGUGUAAACUUUUAACUAUGCUACCUGGUCCUUCUUCCCGGAGCACAAUUUUUGACCAUGAGCUGAGCUUAUGUCAAUUUUCCUCAUCAUAUCAUUUCGCCUUGAACAGCAAGCUUGAUUUCAAGUUUGUGUCAAGGUUCCAAUAACCUUUCGCUUCAUCAUUCCUUUGACUUAAUGUCGUCGCUGAUUGAUUACAUCUUCAUGAAAUCUCUCGACAAAUGUGUCGUGAUCAUCAUCAACCUUAUGAGCUCUUCCAGGAUAUCAACCGGAUUCAUGAAGAGAAAUACCAUCCUUGCCCUCGAUGAGUUGUGUUAUCAUCGGCCACUUUAUUGCCUUCCCUCCAACACAAACUUGUUCGUGUUUUGUGUUAUACCUUGAGUUCCUUGCUACCCAGCAUUGUUCUUCUUUACCUUGGAGUAUUACUGCCUUUUUGUCAAGGAUGUUGUGAGAAAUUCACCACCCUUAAGAAUUCUUGAUACAAGUGAUACUUAUUAACAUAACCAUUCUUUUCUUGGUCCCCGUGUUGUUUCUAACCGGAAUACCGACAAAUGGUGUGUGAUGUGUAAAUUCUAAACUUCUAGCAACCCUAUUGCUUUGAAGUUAUUGGUCUAUAGUUUCAUUCUACGUCUAUGGCUUAUUGAAUCAUCAUUCGAACAUUGAUCGUGCUACCUAGCCCAUAUUUCGGGUGCACCUUUCAACCAAUGUUUAACUGUGUAUGUUUUCCUCGAGUAUACAUCAUUAAGUCAUUUGAUCUAGCUAAUGCUAUCUCCUUGUUCACAUAGUUGUGGAAAUCCAUCUUUUUGGAAAUAUCAAUGGAUUGUCGCUGAGUCAAUCAGUCACCUCCUCACCUCUCCUUGAUUUAAUGGUGAACCCUUGUUCGGAACUCGCUUCCAUAGUUCCUUUCCCGAGAAUCAUAUAAUGUCGUCUCGUCAAUUGUGUUGCACCUCUUCUUCUCAGGCAUCAUGAGUCUGAGGUAUCCUGACACCAAUCAGAUUUGAAACUUGUCAGAUAUGAUGGUUGGAACAUUUUCCAAGAGUCAUAGCAUUGAUCUUUAUAUAACCCAGUAAGGUGAUAUCAUGCCUAGCGCACCUGGUCGGAGGACCUAUUGUUAUAGUUUUCUUUUAGCAAGGUUAGCCAUUCUUCCAUGAGGAAAUUGUAAGACUUAUUCUAUAAGUUGUUCCCGAUGAAUCCUUUGUAUAUCCAAGUCCAACCUUUGCUUGAAGACCAUGUCAAUACUAUCUCGAAGCAUGUCUGUGGUACUCCGAUUUUCAAUAAGAAUAUUUGAAGCACAAAUGCUAAAUUUUCUUUAUCAAUUACCCUAACACAGUUGUAUGGGUAAUGGCAUGAAAUUUUUCUUUCCUUUCCUAAAGGGUUUUCUACGUAAUAUCUCGUCAUGGAUAUCAUGCUAUGCUUGCCCUUGGGAAGGAUAUACCCCUGAAAUAAGUGUUUAAACACAUUUUCCUUUCCAUUGUUCUGUUUAAUCUGAUGAUCACCUUUUCCUUUCCAUUAUUUUGUUUAAUCUUUCUUGUGAUCUAUAUGAUCUAAGUAGUAAUAAUUCACUGCUUAUGUAAACACCUUGGUGUACUACUCUGUCAAUAAGACCCUGUUACUAUUGUUUAUGACAUUCCGGUAGCCACCGAUGGACGAGAACCUUGCCUGUUGGUCCGCCUCGUUCAACGAGCAGGAAAAUGGUUCUCUUCGUCCCUCGCCCUUGGUACCGACAUUGUUGCCGACAUAACUGAUAGGCUACCCUCUGACAUGUCUUGCUAUCAUGAUCGUGCAAGAUGUCAACGCCCUUCCUACUUUUAACCACAUGGUGGGCCCAUAACCCACAGUUCCACAGGAUCGAAACCUGACUCUCCUGUACACCCAUGUUGCCAAAGUUAUUCCUUGCGCUUGACUUCGUAAGUAAUUCACGGGUCACCUUCCUAGUGCUCUAUUCUGGUAUCAGACGCAAUACUUACUAUCGCUGCUCUGAACCCCUUUUCUCACUCUGGUUCAGACUUUGGCAACUAUCUAUCCGCUUGGAACCUCUUAUUGUACCUUCGUACCUUACUCUCGAUGUAUUUUAUAUGUUCAACUCGAGAGAUAAUCUUAUGCUCAUUCAUGGGUUAACCCCAGAUUGUUUCCCUCAUAAGCAUUCUGUCGUAGCCGAGCUGUCCCUUACCUAUUCGUAAGUACGUUGGAGUUCCCGAAGAAAAGGACGACCUCACCAUGAUGACCUGAAGCAGAGAAAUGAAGACGUCAAUGUAAGGGAUCGACCUCUUCGAGAAGAGCAACCAAGGCCGAGAAGAUUCGUUAGAAUUCGUAACUAGACUUUUCCCCCGUUUUCCACCUCUUAAAUCUCGGGACGAGAUUUCUUGUAGUGGAGGAGAAUUGUGACGCCCGGAUAAUCAAGCUACAGUAACCUCUGCUAAUAAUGCCAUGCCACCUCGAUAACUGUUGCUAAUCUCACGUUAGUUCGAAACCGAUUCAAACUUCAAAUUCAAAAUAAAAGCAAACAUCAAAAGCUUUCAAACAUUAAAACCAAAAUGUUAUUUUGGUUGCAAAUAAUCACUACUGAAUUGUCGUGCAGGAACCAACAUUAAUGAGUUAAUAAAAUGCCAUUAACCUAUUUUUAAAUUAGACCAACAACACUUAAGUGGACCAUGUAAAUUCAAACCGAAUUUUAAAACAUUUCAAAAUAAUCUCAAACUUGGGGAACAACAGCAACAUAUUACCAAGUAUUUGUGUGACAGGUUUCAUAUGCAACUAAAUUCUUUUGUUGGCCCAAAAUAAAUACCAAACGGAGACUAAAAGGAAAACAGAAAAGUUAAAAAUAAAUAAAUAGAAAAGACCCCCCCCCACUAGGCCAAACGGCCCAGCUGGCCGACUAGGCCGCCCACCAGGCCGACCCACCCCUGCCUACACAUGCCCACUCCCCNNNNNNNNNNNNNNNNNNNNNNNNNNNNNNNNNNNNNNNNNNNNNNNNNNNNNNNNNNNNNNAUCCGAUCUGGAUCGGGGAAGGGACCGACGCCGCCCCGGACCGCCAUCGCCCGCCGCCGCCUCCACCUCGUCCAUCGUCGCCUGGAACGCCGCCUCGGCCACCUCGUCGUCUACCCCGCCGGCCUGCUUCCUCUAUGCGCGACAUCCCCGACCUCCACCACGCGCCCCGCUGCCACUCCCCUACCGGCCCCGUGAGCACGCCCUGCGCCCCUCCACUCUCUCCCCUGUCUCCCACGCGCUCGCCGCGGCCCGUGCGCGCCCGCGCACGCAUCGCCUCGGCGACCUCCGCUCGCCCGCGCGUCCCACUGCCCCUGCUCACCCCGCUCCCCUCUCUCACGCGCGCGCACGCAGCCACAACCGCACCCACUCACCUCGUCGCCGCGCCCGCAGCCCCGCUCGCUGCUUCCGCUCACGCGACGUCGCCCCUCACCCGCACGUUCCCGCGCGCCCAUGGUCACGCCUACCUGCUCCGCCACAGCCUCGCGCGGCCCCGUUGCUCGCCCGCACCCCACUGUUGCGCUACUGCGCUGCCGCCGAUGUGCCCGCGCCGUUGCCGCCCUCGACCGCGCGCCCUGCGCGUCCUGGUCGCCCCCCUAUCCCGCGCUCCUCCUCCCCGCGUCGUNNNNNNNNNNNNNNNNNNNNNNNNNNNNNNNNNNNNNNNNNNNNNNNNNNNNNNNNNNNNNNNNNNNNNNNNNNNNNNNNNNNNGCCCACAGCCGCCGCGCUCGACGCCCUACUGCGCCGAUGGCCGCACGCCGCCUUGCCGUCGUCGCGCUGCGCGCGUCGCCUCCACCGUCCGUCCUCGCCGCCGUUUCGCCGUACUGCUGCGGCCGCCGUCGAGGCCGGCGCCCCCCUGGUGGCCUUGGGCCUGCACGCCCGGCGCCCGUAAUUGCGCCCGGGUGCCCGAUGCCCAGUGCCCUUUAGCCUCCCCCAGGGCCUAUGACAAAGGGGGCCUGCCAAGAACGUUUUUAUAAAAAAUUAAUAAUAAUAAUAAUUUUAAUUAAUUAAUUAAUUAACUAAAUUAAUUAUGUUAAUUACCUAUUUAAUUAAUCUAAUUAACCUGUUAGUUUAAUUAAACAGUAAUUAGUUUAACCUAAACCCUAAUUAACCUAACAGUGUAUGACAGGUGGGUCCCACUGGGCCCACACGUCAGUUUGACUAGUCAACACCUCUGUUGACUGCUGACGUCAUGAUGACGUCAGCAAACACUAUUUUGGAUAAUGUUGAAUUAAAUAAAUUAAAUAAAUUCUAAAAGUGAUUUAAAACUUUAGAAAAUUAUAUAAAAUAAACCAUAGCUCAGAUGAAAUACUUUCUACAUGAAAGUUGCUCAGAACGACGUGACGAAUCCGGAUAAGCAGUCCGUUCGUCCGCCACACACCCCUACCAUAUCGAACACGCAACUUUCCCCCUUUGGUUCAUCUGUCCGAAAAUGCGAAAUACCGGGAAUACUUUCCCGGAUGUUUCCCCCCUUCGUCGGUAUCACCUACUACCGCGUUUGGGCACACCUAGCAUCACACUUUGUCAUGCCAUGCAUCGUCAUGCAUUUGUUUGCAUUGUAUUUAUUGUUCCUUCCCCCUCUUCUCUCGCUAGACACCGAGACCGACGCCACUGCUACCCAGUACGACUACGGUGUUGACGACCCCUCCUUCUCGGCUGAGCUUCCAGGCAAGCCGCCCCCCUUGAUCACCAGAUAUCGCCUAUUCUUCUCUAUACUCUUGCAUUAGAGUAGUGUAGCAUGUUGCUGCUUUCCGUUAAUCCUAUUCUGCUGCAUAGCCUGUCUUUGCCACUACUAUUGUUACCUUUACCUGCAAUCCUACAUGCUUAGUAUAGGAUGCUAGUAUUCCAUCCGUGGCCCUACAUUCUUGUCCGUCUGUUGUGCUAUACUAUCGGGCCGUGAUCACUCGGGAGGUGAUCACGGGUAUAUACUAUAUACUUUAUACAUGAUACAUGUGGUGACAAAAGUCGGGUCGGCUCGUGGAGCACCCGCGAGUGAUUCACGGAUUGGGGGCUGAAAGGACUUUUGUCCCGACGGCCCUCUGGGUGGAUCUUUGUGGCGGAGUGACAGGGCAGGUUGAGACCGCCUAGGUGAGAGCUGGGCCUGGCUCUGGUCGGUGUCCGCGGUUACAUCAAUUAACACACUUAACAAGAUCUUGCUAUUUGAUCUGAGUCUGGCCAUUUGGUCUAUACGCACUAACCAACUACGUGGGAAAGAUAUGGGCACUCGACAUCGUGGUAUCAGCCGAAGCCUUCGUGACGUCAGCGACUGAGUGGCGCGCGCCGGGUUGGACCGCGUAACGUGACUUCCUUUGUAAUGGAGGUUGCUAGGUCUGCUCUCCGGCCGCGUACGCAACGUGCAGGUGUGCAAUGGGCGAUGGGCCCAGACCCCUGCGCGCAUAAGAUUUAGACCGGCGUGCUGACCUCUCUGUUGUGCCUAGGUGGGGCUGCGACAUGUUGAUCUUCCGAGGCCAGGCAUGACCCAGGAAAGUGUGUUCGGCCAAAUGGGAUUGAGCGUGUUGGGUUAUGUGUUGCACCCCUGCAGGGAAGUUUAUCUAUUCGAAUAGCCGUGUCCCUCGGUAAAAGGACGACCCGGAGUUGUACCUUGACCUUAUGACAACUAGAACUGGAUACUUAAUAAAACACACCCUUCCAAGUGCCAGAUAUAAUCCGGUGAUCGCUCUCUAACAGGGCGACGAGGAGGGGAUCGCCGGGUAGGAUUAUGCUAUACGAUGCUACUUGGUGAACUUACCAUCUACUCUCUUCUACAUGCUGCAAGAUGGAGGUGGCCAGAAGCGUAGUCUUCGACAGGAUUAGCUAUCCCCCUCUUAUUCUGGCAUUCUGCAGUUCAGUCCACCGAUAUGGCCCUUUACACAUAUACCCAUGCAUAUGUAGUGUAGCUCCUUGCUUGCGUGUACUUUGGAUGAGUACUCACGGUUGCUUUUCUCUCCCUUUUCCCCCUUUCAUUUCUCUCUGGUUGUCACAACCAGAUGUCGGAGCCCAGGAGCCAGACGCCACCAUCGACGACGACUCCUACUACACCGGAGGUGCCUACUACUACGUUCAGGCCGCUGACGACGACCAGGAGUAGUUUAGGAGGAUCCCAGGCAGGAGGCUGCGCCUCUUUCGAUCUGUAUCCCAGUUUGUGCUAGCCUUCUUAAGGCAAACUUGUUUAACUUAUGUCUGUACUCAGAUAUUGUUGCUUCCGCUGACUCGUCUAUGAUCGAGCACUUGUAUUCGAGCCCUCGAGGCCCCUGGCUUGUAUUAUGAUGCUUGUAUGACUUAUUUUAUUUUUAGAGUUGUGUUGUGAUAUCUUCCCGUGAGUCCCUGAUCUUGAUCUUACACGUUUGCGUGUAUGAUUAGUGUAUGAUUGAUCGGGGGCAUCACAUUCCUGCACCCACACACUUCUUCUUCCUCCCAAAAAAAUCACCAUCCAGCUCAAGCACGAGUUCUAGCUCAUUUUGCUGCGAUUUUCGAUCUCCUUGCUCAAAGCACCUCUCACAAAACUGCUUGGGGAGAUUGUUCCUUGAAAUUUUUCAGAGGAAGAAAUAUGCUUAGGAAAAUAUACCAAGGUGGUCCUUCAAGGAAGCAAGGACCCAGGCUCGCAAUGCGCGAUGCCGAUGAUGAGCCACCAAGGAACGCUCCAGUGCGGCCUUGUGAAUGGCCUUCAGAAGGCUUUAUGGAUCAAGCAGGAAUCAAGGAAGAAUUUAACGCGUAUUUGCGUAACGCUGAUCUUGUGAGCUUCGAGGGAGAAAAGUGCCGCCAGUACCACUAUCUCACUAGUUCAUUUGUGAGGAGGUUUGAAUUUUCAUCUUCACGCAAUUCUCAAACUGUUCUGUUUGAUCUCUAUGAAAAAUCUUACACUAUGGACUUAGAGGAUUUUACUACUGCUUACAAACUUCCACAAUGGGGUAGUACUAGUGAACCUCGCAAAUCUGAAUUUAGAGAAUUUCUUGCUAGUAUAACUGUGGGGGAAUCUAGAGACAUAACACAAGCUACAAUAGGGAGUAUUCAUUUUCCUGCUAUACAUUAUUUUGCUCUCUUCAUAGGUAGGUGCAUAGAUGGUAAAGAUGAAGCAUGUCAUAUGUGUGUCCCUGACCUCAGUAUUCUUAGGAGUGCUGUGUUAGGAGACAAAUCUUAUAAUUUGGGAGCCAUUGUUGCGCAUAGGUUGCAUCACAAUAGAUUUAAUGGAGAUUUCUUUGGUGGAAUUAAUGCAACCCGCUUAGCUGAUUUUCUUGGUGUAACCAUACGUGAUGAUGAUAUUGAACUGCCUCCUACUUAUCUAGACUUUAAUGCUAUGGUUCAUCAUCAGGUUGUCAAGAGGAAUGAACCACCUCUCCAGUACAGACUAAUCUUUGACAGGCAUCACGCCGUCAAUAUUGUUCUUCCUGCCCCUACUCUCUUUGACUUUCAGGAAAAAGGUAGACAUUACAUAACCAGAGAGGAGGCGGAGGAGUAUAGGAGGAGGACUGAGAUAGCUCGCCUCCAAGCUGCAGCACACGAUGCAAUGACCGCUGCAUCUCAGUACGACCCCGGUUAUAACUUUGGAUAUCCGCCAGGCCACCCGUGGCAAUAAACCAACUUAGGCCAAAAGCCUAAGCUUGGGGGAGUACGUAUUUCUCACCGACAUUACAUUCAUGUUCACACACUCAUUGCUAGAUGUCGGUGCCCAUACUCUUUCACUGUAAUAUCCAUGCUAGUUUAUUUUCCUUUUUCUUGCUUUCUUCUUGUGUGUUUAAUAAACCUUAAGAAAAACCAAAAAAAUUAGUGUAGCUUUUAGUUAGUUUACUUUUCUUGUUGUAGUAGUAAUAAUUAAAAAUAAAACCCAAAAAGAUUUCCCAUUCUUCUUUUGCUUGUUGGGAGCUUUCCCGUGUAAAUAGUUUUAUUUCUUUUCUUUUCUUUGGGGGUCGAUAGGAGAAGACCAUGAUUAAAAUUGUUGAAGUGGAUCUUAUAUGCAUUAUUGUUGAUUUAACCAAGAGUCCAUAUUGCCUUGUCUUCUCCUGUUUAUUGAAUGCUCGCAGAUUCCAGCUUAGUCCAAUGCACGUGCACUCUUAUUAUUUUCACAUCGUUCGGUCGUGCAAGUGAAAGGCAAUUAUGACGAUGGACUGACUGAGAUGAGAGAAGCUGGUAUGAACUCGACCUCUCUUGUUUUUGUAAAUAUGAUUAGUUCAUCGUUCCUGAUUCAGCCUAUUAUGAAUAAACAUGUUUGCAAUGACAAUAAGAGAUUAUAGUUGCUUAUGCCAUGCUUAAUUAGCUAGGAGUUUAUAAUGGUUUACCUUGCGUGCCAACAUGCUAUUAAAAUGGUUGUGAUGUGGUAUGAUGGGGUAGUAUCCUCCUUUGAAUGAUUUAAGUGACUUGACUUGGCACAUGUUCACGCAUGUAGUUGAAACAAAUCAACAUAGCCUUCACGAUAUUUAUGUUCAUGGUGGAUUAUAUCCUACUCAUGCUUGUACUCAAUGUUUAUUAAUUCUAAUGCAUGUUCAUGACUGUUGUCGCUCUCUAGUUGGUCGCUUCCCAGUCUUUUGCUAGCCUUCACUUGUACUAAGCAGGAAUACUGCUUGUGCAUCCAAUCCCUUAAACCCCAAAGUUAUUCCAUAUGAGUCCACCAAUACCUUCCUAUAUGCGGUAUCUCCCUGCCGUUCCAAGUAAAUUUGUAUGUGCCAAACUCUAAACCUUCAAAUGAAAUUCUGUUUUGUAUGCUCGAAUAGCUCAUGUAUCAACUAGGGCUGUCCGUAUCUUCCAUGUUAGGCGGGUUAUUCUCAAGAGGAGUGGACUCCGCUCCUCACUCACGAGAAAAUGGCUGGUCACCGGGAUGCCCAGUCCCAUGCUUUAUGCAAACUAAAUCAAAAUAAUUGCAAACAAAACUCCCCCUGGGACUGUUGUUAGUUGGAGGCACUCGUUGUUUCGAGCAAGCCAUGGAUUGAUGCUUGUUGGUGGAGGGGGAGUAUAAACUUUACCAUUUUGUUUAGGAACCGCCUAUAAUGUGUGUAGCAUGGAAGAUAUCGCCAUCUCUCGGUUGUUAUGUUGACAAUGAAAGUAUGCCGCUCAAAAUAUUAUUUAUCUCUGCUUUAAAAUCGAGCUCUGGCACCUCUACAAAUCCCUGCUUCCCUCUUCGAAGGGCCUAUCUAUUUAAUUUUAUGUUGAGUCAUCACCCUCUUAUCAUAAGCACCGGCUGGAGAGCACCGUUGUCAUUUGCAUUCAUUGCUAUUAAUUUAUAUUGGGUAUGACUAUGACUGGAUCUCUUAUACCAUGAAUUACAAUGUCUAGUCAGUCCUUGAUCUUUAAAGGUGCUCUGCAUUUAUGUUUUGUGGUCUCAGAAAGGGCUAGCGAGAUACCAUCCUGUUAUAUCAUAUUAUGAUUGUUUUGAGAAAGUGUUGUCAUCCGAGAUUUAUUAUUAUUGCUCGCUAGUCGAUUAUGCCAUUGAUAUGAGUAAACAUGAGACCUAAGAGUUAUUGUGAAUGUGGUUAGUCAUAAUCUUUGCUGAAAACUUGAAUGCUGGCUUUACAUAUUUAUAACAACAAGAGCAAACAGAGUUUGUAAAAGUUUUUCUUUAUCACUUUCAGUUUAUCAACUGAAUUGCUUGAGGACAAGCAAAGGUUUAAGCUUGGGGGAGUUGAUACGUCUCCGUCGUAUCUACUUUUCCAAACACUUUUGCCCUUGUUUUGGACUCUAACUUGCAUGAUUUGAAUGGAACUAACCCGGACUGACGCUGUUUUCAGCAGAAUUGCCAUUGUGUUAUUUAUGUGCAGAAACAAAAGUUCUCGGAAUGACCUGAAACUCCACAGAACUUAUUUUCGGAAAAUAAUAAAAAUACUGGAAGAAGAAUCCACGUCAGGGGGGCCUCCACCUGUCCACGAGGGUGGGGGCACGCCUGCCCCCCUGGACGCGCCCCCUGCCUCGUGGGCCCCCUGACGCUCCACCGACCUCAACUCCAACUCCAUAUAUUCGUGUUCGGGGAGAAAAAAAUCAGAGAGAUGGAUUCAUCGCGUUUUAGAGGGCUGAUCUAGAGUCCGUUCGGGGCUCCGGAGAGGGGAAUCCGUCGCCGUCGUCAUCAUCAACCAUCCUCCAUCACCAAUUUCAUGAUGCUCACCGCCGUGUGUGAGUAAUUCCAUCACAGGCUUGCUGGACGGUGAAGGGUUGGAUGAGAUUUAUCAUGUAAUCGAGUUAGUUUUGUUAGGGUUUGAUCCCUAGUAUCCACUAUGUUCUGAGAUUGAUGUUGCUAUGACUUUGCUAUGCUUAAUGCUUGUCACUAGGGCCCGAGUGCCAUGAUUUCAGAUCUGAACCUAUUAUGUUUUCAUGAAUAUAUGUGAGUUCUUGAUCCUAUCUUGCAAGUCUAUAGUCACCUACUAUGUGUUAUGAUCCGGCAACCCCGAAGUGACAAUAAUCAGGACCACUCCCGGUGAUGACCAUACUUUGAGGAGUUCAUGUAUUCACUAUGUGUUAAUGCUUUGGUCUGGUACUCUAUUAAAAGGAGGCCUUAAUAUCCCUUAGUUUCCAUUAGGACCCCGCUGCCAUGGGAGGGUAGGACAAAAGAUGUCAUGCAAGUUCUUUUCCAUAAGCACGUAUGACUAUAUUCGGAAUACAUGCCUACAUUACAUUGAUGAAUUGGAGCUAGUUCUGUGACACCCUAUGUUAUGACUGUUACAUGAUGAACCGCACCCGGCAUAAUUCUCCAUCACCGAUCCAAUGCCUACGAGCUUUUCACAUAUUGUUCUUCGCUUAUUUACUUUUCUGUUGCUACUGUUACAAUCACUACAAAACCCAAACAUAUUACUUUUGCUACCGUUACCGUUACUUCCACACUACUUUGCUACUAAAUACUUUGUUGCAGAUACUAAGUUAUCCAGGUGUGGUUGAAUUGACAACUCAACUGCUAAUACUUGAGAAUAAUCUUUGGCUCCCCUUGUGUCGAAUCAAUAAAUUUGGGUUGAAUACUCUACCCUCGAAAACGGUUGCGAUCCCCUAUACUUGUGGGUUAUCAAUGGUUUUAGGGUAUAUGGAGAUAUAUAGGCGAAGAAGUCGGUAAGGGGAGCCACAAGGAGCCCACGAGGGUGGAGGGCGCGCCCAGGGGGUAGGCGCGCCCCCUGCCUCGUGCUCUCCUCGUUGAUCCCCUGACGUGCACUCCAAGUCUCCCGGAUUGCGUUCUUUCAAAAAAUAACUCUCCCGAAGGUUUCAUUCUGUUUGGACUCUGUUUGAUAUUCCUUUUCUGCGAAACACUGAAAUAAGGGGAAAAACAUGAACUGGCACUGGGCUCUGGGUUAAUAGGUUAGUCCCAAAAAUAAUAUAAAAGUGUUUAAUAAAUUCCAUUAAACAUCCAAAAGAGAUAAUAUAAUAGCAUGGAACAAUAAAAAAUUAUAGAUACGUUGGAGACGUAUCAGCAUCCUCAAGCUUAAUUCCUGCUCGUCCUCGAGUAGGUAAAUGAUAAAAACAGAAUUUUUGAUGUGGAAUGCUACCUAACAUAUUUAUCAAUGUAAUCUUCUAUAUUGUGGCAAGAAUAUUCAGAUCCAUAAGAUUCAAAACAAAAGUUUAAUAUUGACAUAAAAAUAAUAAUACUUCAAGCAUCCUAACAAAGUAAUCAUGUCUCCUCAAAAUAACAUGGCCAAAGCAAGCUAUCCCUACAAAAUCAUAUAGUCUGGCUAUGCUCUAUCUUCAUCACACAAAAUAUUUAAAUCAUGGACAACCCCGAUGACAAGCCAAGCAAUUGUUUCAUACUUUUGAUGUUCUCAAACUUUUUCAAUCUUCACGCAAUACAUGAGCGUGAGCCAUGGACAUAGCACUAUAGGUGGAAUAGAAUGGUAGUUGUGGAGAAGACAAAAAGGAGAAGAUGUUGGGAAUCGUAGCAUAAUUUAAAAUUUUCCUACGCUCACCAAGAUGCAUCUAUGGAGUCUACUAGCAACGAGGGGAAAGGAGUGGAUCUACAUACCCUUGUAGAUCGCGAGCGGAAGCGUUCCAAUGAACGUGGAUGACGGAGUCGUACUCGCCGUGAUCCAAAUCACCGAUGACCGAGUGCCGAACGGACGGCACCUCCGCGUUCAACACACGUACAGUGCAGCGACGUCUCCUCCUUUCUUGAUCCAGCAAGGGGGGAGGAGAGGUUGAUGGAGAUCCAACAGCACGACGGCGUGGUGGUGGAUGUAGCGGCUCUCCGGCAGGGCUUCGCCGAGCUUCUGCGCGCGAGAGAGAGGUGUUGCAGGGGAGGAGGGAGGCGCCAAAGGCUGUAGUGUGCUGCCCUCCCUCCCCCCCCCUUUAUAUAGGCCCCCAAGGGGGGUGCGCAGCCCUUGGAGAUGGGAUCUCCAAGGGGGGGGCGGCGCCCAAGGGGGAAGGGGUUGCCUUGCCCCCCAAGGCAAGGGGAAACUCCCCCCCUAGGGUUCCCAACCCUAGGCGCAUGGGGGGGAGGCCCAAAGUGGCGCCCCAGCCCAUUAGGGGCUGGUUCCCCUCCACUUUCAGCCCACGGGGCCCUCCGGGACAGGUGGCCCCACCCGGUGGACCCCCGGGACCCUUCCGGUGGUCCCGGUACAAUACCGAUAACCCCCGAAACUUUCCCGGUGGCCAAAACUGGACUUCCUAUAUAUAAUUCUUCACCUCCGGACCAUUCCGGAACCUCUCGUGAUGUCCGGGAUCUCAUCCGGGACUCCGAACAACUUUCGGGUUUCCGCAUACAUAUAUCUCUACAACCCUAGCGUCACCGGACCUUAAGUGUGUAGACCCUACGGGUUCGGGAGACAUGCAGACAUGACCGAGACGCCUCUCCGGUCAAUAACCAACAGCGGGAUCUGGAUACCCAUGUUGGCUCCCACAUGUUCCACGAUGAUAUCAUCGGGUGAACCACGGUGUCGAGGAUUCAAUCAAUCCGUAUGCAAUUCCCUUUGUCAAUCGGUAUGUUACUUGCCCGAGAUUCGAUCGUCGGUAUCCCAAUACCUAGUUCAAUCUCGUUAUCGGCAAGUCUCUUUACUCGUACCGCAAUGCAUGAUCCCGUGACUAACGCCUUAGUCACAUUGAGCUCAUUAUGAUGAUGCAUUACCGAGUGGGCCCAGAGAUACCUCUCCGUUUACACGGAGUGACAAAUCCCAGUCUCGAUCCGUGCCAACCCAACAGACACUUUCGGAGAUACCCGUAAUGCACCUUUAUAGUCACCCAGUUACGUUGUGACGUUUGGCACACCCAAAGCACUCCUACGGUAUCCGGGAGUUGCACGAUCUCAUGGUCUAAGGAAAAGAUACUUGACAUUGGAAAAGCUCUAGCAAACGAAACUACACGAUCUUUUAUGCUAUGCUUAAGUUGGGUCUUGUCCAUCACAUCAUUCUCCUAAUGAUGUGAUCCCGUUAUCAAUGACAUCCUAUGUCCAUAGUCAGGAAACCAUGACUAUCUGUUGAUCAACGAGCUAGUCAACUAGAGGCUUACUAGGGACAGGUUGUGGUCUAUGUAUUCACACAUGUAUUACGAUUUCCGGACAAUACAAUUAUAGCAUGAAUAAAAGACUAUUAUCAUGAACACAGAAAUAUAAUAAUAACCAUUUAUUAUUGCCUCUAGGGCAUAUUUCCAACAGAUCGUAUCUUCUAUACGACUCAUGCUCGACCUUUCGGUCCUCCGUGUUCCGAGGCCAUGUCUGUACAUUCUAGGCUCGUCAAGUCAACCUAAGUGUAUUGCGUGUGUUCCGAGGCCAUGUCUGUACAUGCUAGGCUCGUCAACACCCGUUGUAUUCGAACGUUAGAAUCUAUCACACCCGAUCAUCACGUGGUGCUUCGAAACAACGAACCUUCGCAACGGUGCACAGUUAGGGUGAACACUUUCUUGAAAUUAUUAUAAGGGAUCAUCUUACUUACUACCGUCGUUCUAAGCAAAUAAGAUGCAAAAACAUGAUAAACAUCACAUGCAAUCAAAUAGUGACAUGAUAUGGCCAAUAUCAUCAUGCUCCUUUGAUCUCCAUCUUCGGGGCACCAUGAUCAUCUUCGUCACCGGCAUGACACCAUGAUCUCCAUCAUCAUGAUCUCCAUCAUUGUGUCUUCAUGAAGUCGUCACGCCAACGAUUACUUCUACUUCUAUGGCUAACGCGUUUAGCAACAGAGUAAAGUAAUUUACAUGGCGUUAUUCAAUGACACGCAGGUCAUGCAAAAUAAUAAAGACAACUCCUAUGGCUCCUGCCGGUUGUCAUACUCAUCGACAUGCAAGUCGUGAUUCCUAUUACAAGAAUAUGAUCAAUCUCAUACAUCAUAUAUAUCAUUCAUCACAUCUUCUGGCCAUAUCACAUCACAUAGCACUUGCUGCAAAAACAAGUUAGACGUCCUCUAAUUGUUGUUGCAAGUUUUUACGUGGUUUGUAGGUUUCUAGCAAGAACGUUUUCUUACCUACGUAUGACCACAACGUGAUUUGCCAAUUUCUAUUUACCCUUCAUAAGGACCCUUUUCAUCGAAUCCAUUCCGACUAAAGUAGGAGAGACAGACACCCGCUAGCCACCUUAUGCAACUAGUGCAUGUCAGUCGGUGGAACCUGUCUCACGUAAGCGUACGUGUAAGGUCGGUCCGGGCCGCUUCAUCCUACAAUGCCGCCGAAACAAGAAACGACUAGUAGCGGCAAGAAGAAUUGGCAACAUCAACGCCCACAACUUCUUUGUGUUCUACUCGUGCAUAGUAACUACGCAUAGGCCUGGCUCAUGAUGCCACUGUUGGGAAUCGUAGCAUAAUUUAAAAUUUUCCUACGCUCACCAAGAUGCAUCUAUGGAGUCUACUAGCAACGAGGGGAAAGGAGUGGAUCUACAUACCCUUGUAGAUCGCGAGCGGAAGCGUUCCAAUGAACGUGGAUGACGGAGUCGUACUCGCCGUGAUCCAAAUCACCGAUGACCGAGUGCCGAACGGACGGCACCUCCGGGUUCAACACACGUACGGUGCAGCGACGUCUCCUCAUUUCUUGAUCCAGCAAGGGGGGAGGAGAGGUUGAUGGAGAUCCAACAGCACGACGGCGUGGUGGUGGAUGUAGCGGCUCUCCGGCAGGGCUUCGCCGAGCUUCUGCGCGCGAGAGAGAGGUGUUGCAGGGGAGGAGGGAGGCGCCAAAGGCUGUAGUGUGCUGCCCUCCCUCCCCCCCCUUUAUAUAGGCCCCCAAGGGGGGUGCGCAGCCCUUGGAGAUGGGAUCUCCAAGGGGGGGGCGGCGCCCAAGGGGGAAGGGGUUGCCUUGCCCCCCAAGGCAAGGGGAAACUCCCCCCCCCCUAGGGUUCCCAACCCUAGGCGCAUGGGGGGGAGGCCCAAAGUGGUGCCCCAGCCCAUUAGGGGCUGGUUCCCCUCCACUUUCAGCCCACGGGGCCCUCCGGGACAGGUGGCCCCACCCGGUGGACCCCCGGGACCCUUCCGGUGGUCCCGGUACAAUACCGAUAACCCCCGAAACUUUCCCGGUGGCCAAAACUGGACUUCCUAUAUAUAAUUCUUCACCUCCGGACCAUUCCGGAACCUCUCGUGACGUCCGGGAUCUCAUCCGGGACUCCGAACAACUUUCGGGUUUCCGCAUACAUAUAUCUCUACAACCCUAGCGUCACCGGACCUUAAGUGUGUAGACCCUACGGGUUCGGGAGACAUGCAGACAUGACCGAGACGCCUCUCCGGUCAAUAACCAACAGCGGGAUCUGGAUACCCAUGUUGGCUCCCACAUGUUCCACGAUGAUAUCAUCGGGUGAACCACAGUGUCGAGGAUUCAAUCAAUCCGUAUGCAAUUCCCUUUGUCAAUCGGUAUGUUACUUGCCCGAGAUUCGAUCGUCGGUAUCCCAAUACCUAGUUCAAUCUCGUUACCGGCAAGUCUCUUUACUCGUACCGCAAUGCAUGAUCCCGUGACUAACGCCUUAGUCACAUUGAGCUCAUUAUGAUGAUGCAUUACCGAGUGGGCCCAGAGAUACCUCUCCGUGUACACGGAGUGACAAAUCCCAGUCUCGAUCCGUGCCAACCCAACAGACACUUUCGGAGAUACCCGUAAUGCACCUUUAUAGUCACCCAGUUACGUUGUGACGUUUGGCACACCCAAAGCACUCCUACGGUAUCCGGGAGUUGCACGAUCUCAUGGUCUAAGGAAAAGAUACUUGACAUUGGAAAAGCUCUAGCAAACGAAACUACACGAUCUUUUAUGCUAUGCUUAAGUUGGGUCUUGUCCAUCACAUCAUUCUCCUAAUGAUGUGAUCCCGUUAUCAAUGACAUCCUAUGUCCAUAGUCAGGAAACCAUGACUAUCUGUUGAUCAACGAGCUAGUCAACUAGAGGCUUACUAGGGACAAGUUGUGGUCUAUGUAUUCACACAUGUAUUACGAUUUCCGGACAAUACAAUUAUAGCAUGAAUAAUAGACUAUUAUCAUGAACACAGAAAUAUAAUAAUAACCAUUUAUUAUUGCCUCUAGGGCAUAUUUCCAACAGUCUCCCACUUGCACUAGAGUCAAUAAUCUAGUUACAUUGUGAUGAAUCGAACACCCAUUGCGUCCUGGUGUUGAUCAUGUUUUGCCCUAGGGAGAGGUUUAGUCAACGGAUCUGCUACAUUCAGGUCCGUGUGUACUUUACAAAUAUCUAUGUCUCCAUUUUGAACACUUUCACGAAUGGAGUUGAAGCGACGCUUGAUAUGCCUGGUCUUCCUGUGAAACCUGGGCUCCUUCGCAAGGGCAAUAGCUCCAGUGUUGUCACAGAAGAGAGUCAUUGGGCCCGACGCAUUGGGAAUCACCCCUAGGUCGGUAAUGAACUCCUUCAUCCAGACUGCUUCCUGUGCUGCCUCCGAGGCUGCCAUGUAUUCCGCUUCACAUGUAGAUCCCGCCACGACGCUUUGCUUGCAACUGCACCAGCUUACUGCUCCUCUAUUCAAAAUAUACACGUAUCCGGUCUGUGACUUCGAGUCAUCCGGAUCUGUGUCGAAGCUAGCAUCGACGUAACCCUUUACGACGAGCUCUUCGUCACCUCCAUAGACGAGAAACAUAUCCUUAGUCCUCUUCAGGUACUUCAGGAUAUUCUUGACCGCUGUCCAGUGUUCCUUGCCGGGAUUACUUUGGUACCUUCCUACCAAACUUACGGCAAGGUUUACAUCAGGUCUGGUACACAGCAUGGCAUACAUAAUAGACCCUAUGGCCGAGGCAUAGGGGAUGACACUCAUCUCUUCUAUAUCUUCUGCCGUGGUCGGGCAUUGAGCCGUGCUCAAUUGCACACCUUGCAAUACAGGCAAGAACCCCUUCUUGGACUGAUCCAUACUGAACUUCUUCAAUAUCUUGUCAAGGUAUGUACUCUGUGAAAGACCAAUGAGGCGUCUUGAUCUAUCUCUAUAGAUCUUGAUGCCUAAUAUAUAAGCAGCUUCUCCAAGGUCCUUCAUUGAAAAACAUUUAUUCAAAUAGGCCUUUAUACUUUCCAAGAAUUCUAUAUCAUUUCCCAUCAAUAAUAUGUCAUCCACAUAUAAUAUGAGAAAUGCUACAGAGCUCCCACUCACUUUGUUGUAAACACAGGCUUCUCCAUAAGUCUGUGUAAACCCAAACGCUUUGAUCAUCUCAUCAAAGCGAAUGUUCCAACUCCGAGAUGCUUGCACCAGCCCAUAGAUUGAGCGCUGGAGCUUGCAUACUUUGUUAGCAUUCUUAGGAUCGACAAAACCUUCCGGCUGCAUCAUAUACAACUCUUCCUUAAGGAAGCCGUUAAGGAAUGCCGUUUUGACGUCCAUCUGCCAUAUCUCAUAAUCAUAGUAUGCGGCAAUUGCUAACAUGAUUCGGACGGACUUCAGCUUCGCUACGGGUGAGAAAGUCUCAUCGUAGUCAACCCCUUGAACUUGUCGAUAACCCUUAGCGACAAGUCGAGCUUUGUAGAUGGUCACAUUACCAUCUGCGUCCGUCUUCUUCUUAAAGAUCCAUUUGUUUUCUAUGGCUCGCCGCUCAUCGGGCAAGUCAGUCAAAGUCCAUACUUUGUUUUUACAUGGAUUCUAUCUCGGAUUUCAUGGCUUCUAGCCAUUUGUCGGAAUCCGGGCCCGCCAUCGCUUCUUCAUAGUUCGAAGGUUCACCGUUGUCUAACAACAUGAUUUCCAGGACAGGGUUGCCGUACCACUCUGGUGCGGAACGUGUCCUUGUGGACCUACGAAGUUCAGUAACUUGAUCUGAAGUUUCAUGAUCAUCAUCAUUAACUUCCUCCCCAGUCGGUGCAGGCACCACAGGAACAUUUUCCCGCGCUGCGCUACUUUCCGGUUCGGAAGGGGUGACUAUCACCUCAUCAAGUUCCACUUUCCUCCCACUCAAUUCUUUCGAGAGAAACUCCUUCUCUAGAAAGGACCCGUUCUUGGCAACGAAGAUCUUGCCUUCGGAUCUGAGGUAGAAGGUAUACCCAAUAGUUUCCUUAGGGUAUCCUAUGAAGACGCAUUUUUCCGAUUUGGGUUCGAGCUUUUCAGGUUGAAGUUUCUUGACAUAAGCAUCGCAUCCCCAAACUUUUAGAAACGACAGCUUAGGUUUCUUCCCAAACCAUAAUUCAUACGGUGUCGUCUCAACGGAUUUAGACGGUGCCCUAUUUAAAGUGAAUGCGGCAGUCUCUAAAGCAUAACCCCAAAAUGAGAGCGGUAAAUCGGUAAGAGACAUCAUAGAUCGCACCAAAUCCAAUAGAGUGCGAUUACGACGUUCGGACACACCAUUUCUCUGAGGUGUUCCAGGCGGCGUGAGUUGUGAAACUAUUCCACAUUUCCUUAAGUGUGUACCAAAUUCGUGACUUAAAUAUUCUCCACCACGAUCUGAUCGUAAGAAUUUUAUUUUCCUGUCACGUUGAUUCUCGACUUCACUCUGAAAUUCCUUGAACUUUUCAAAGGUUUCAGACUUGUGUUUCAUUAGGUAGACAUACCCAUAUCUACUUAAAUCAUCAGUGAGAGUGAGAACAUAACGAUAUCCUCCGCGAGCCUCAACACUCAUUGGACCGCACACAUCGGUAUGUAUGAUUUCCAAUAAGUUGGUUGCUCGCUCCAUUGUUCCGGAGAACGGAGUCUUGGUCAUCUUACCCAUGAGGCAUGGUUCGCACGUGUCAAAUGAUUCGUAAUCAAGAGACUCCAAAAGUCCAUCUGUAUGGAGCUUCUUCAUGCGCUUGACACCAAUGUGACCAAGGCGGCAGUGCCACAAGUAUGUGGGACUAUCGUUAUCAACUUUACAUCUUUUGGUAUUCACACUAUGAAUAUGUGUAACAUCACGUUCGAGAUUCAUCAAGAAUAAACCAUUGACCAGCGGGGCAUGACCAUAAAACAUAUCUCUCAAAUAAAUAGAACAACCAUUAUUCUCGGAUUUAAAUGAGUAGCCAUCUCGAAUUAAACGAGAUCCAGAUACAAUGUUCAUGCUCAAAGCUGGCACUAAAUAACAAUUAUUGAGGUUUAAAACUAAUCCUGUAGGUAGAUGCAGAGGUAGCGUGCCGACGGCGAUCACAUCGACCUUGGAACCAUUCCCGACGCGCAUCGUCACCUCGUCCUUCGCCAGUCUCCGUUUAUUCCGUAGUUCCUGUUUUGAGUUACAAAUAUGAGCAACCGCACCGGUAUCAAAUACCCAGGAGCUACUACGAGUACUGGUAAGGUACACAUCAAUUACAUGUAUAUCACAUAUACCUUUGGUGUUGCCGGCCUUCUUGUCCGGUAAGUAUUUGGGGCAGUUCCGCUUCCAGUGACCACUUCCCUUGCAAUAAAAGCACUCAGUUUCAGGCUUGGGUCCAUUCUUCAACUUCUUCCCAGUAACUGGCUUACCGGGCGCGGCAACUCCCUUGCCGUCCUUCUUGAAGUUCUUCUUACCCUUGCCCUUCUUGAACUUAGUGGUUUUAUUCACCAUCAACACUUGAUGUUCUUUUCUGAUCUCCACCUCCGCUGAUUUCAGCAUUGAAUAUACCUCAGGAAUGGUCUUUUCCAUCCCCUGCAUAUUGAAGUUCAUCACAAAGCUCUUGUAGCUUGGUGGAAGCGACUGGAGGAUUCUGUCAAUGACCGCGUCAUCCGGGAGAUUAACUCCCAGCUGAGUCAAGCGGUUGUGCAACCCAGACAUUCUGAGUAUGUGCUCACUAACAGAACUGUUCUCCUCCAUUUUACAGCUGAAGAACUUGUCGGAGACAUCAUAUCUCUCGACCCGGGCAUGAGCUUGAAAAACCAGUUUCAGCUCCUCGAACAUCUCAUAUGCUCCAUGUUUCUCAAAACGCUUUUGGAGACCCGGUUCUAAGCUAUAAAGCAUGCCGCACUGAACGAGGGAGUAAUCAUCAGCACGCUGCUGCCAAGCGUUCAUAACGUCUUGGUUCUCAGGGAUUGGUGCUUCACCUAGCGGUGCUUCUAAGACAUAAUCUUUCUUGGCUGCUAUGAGGAUGAUCCUCAGGUUCCGGACCCAGUCCGUAUAGUUGCUGCCAUCAUCUUUCAGCUUGGUUUUCUCUAGGAACGCGUUGAAAUUGAGGACAACGUGGGCCAUUUGAUCUACAAUACAUAGUGUAAAGAUUUUUUAGACUAAGUUCAUGAUAAUUAUGUUCAUAUAAUCAAAUUAUUUAAUGAACUCCCACUCAGAUAGACAUCCCUCUAGUUAUCUAAGUGAAACAUGAUCCGAACUCAACUAGGCCGUGUCCGAUCAUCACGUGAGACGGACUAGUCAAGAUCGGUGAACAUCUCCAUGUUGAUCGUAUCUUCUAUACGACUCAUGCUCGAACUUUCGGUCCUCCGUGUUCCGAGGCCAUGUCUGUACAUGCUAGGCUCGUCAAGUCAACCUAAGUGUAUUCCGUGUGUUCCGAGGCCAUGUCUGUACAUGCUAGGCUCGUCAACACCCGUUGUAUGCGAACGUAAGAAUCUAUCACACCCGAUCAUCACGUGGUGCUUCGAAACGACGAACCUUCGCAACGGUGCACAGUUAGGGUGAACACUUUCUUGAAAUUAUUAUAAGGGAUCAUCCUACUUGCUACCGUCGUACUAAGCAAAUAAGAUGCAAAAACAUGAUAAACAUCACAUGCAAUCAAAUAGUGACAUGAUAUGGCCAAUAUCAUCAUGCUCCUUUGAUCUCCAUCUUCGGGGCACCAUGAUCAUCUUUGUCACCGGCAUGACACCAUGAUCUCCAUCAUCAUGAUCUCCAUCAUUGUGUCUUCAUGAAGUUGUCACGCCAACGAUUACUUCUACUUCUAUGGCUAACCGUUUAGCAACAAAGUAAAGUAAAUUACAUGGCGUUAUUCAAUGACACGCAGGUCAUGCAAAAUAAUAAAGACAACUCCUAUGGCUCCUGCCGGUUGUCAUACUCAUCGACAUGCAAGUCGUGAUUCCUAUUACAAGAAUAUGAUCAAUCUCAUACAUCACAUAUAUCAUUCAUCACAUCUUCUGGCCAUAUCAUAUCACAUAUAUCACUUGCUGCAAAAACAAGUUAGACGUCCUCUAAUUGUUGUUGCAAGUUUUUACGUGGUUUGUAGGUUUCUAGCAAGAACGAUUUCUUACCUACGUAUGACCACAACGCGAUUUGCCAAUUUCUAUUUACCCUUCAUAAGGACCCUUUUCAUCGAAUCCGUUCCGACUAAAGUAGGAGAGACAGACACCCGCUAGCCACCUUAUGCAACUAGUGCAUGUCAGUCGGUGGAACCUGUCUCACGUAAGCGUACGUGUAAGGUCGGUCCGGGCCGCUUCAUCCUACAAUGCCGCCGAAACAAGAAACGACUAGUAGCGGCAAGAAGAAUUGGCAACAUCAACGCCCACAACUUCUUUGUGUUCUACUCGUGCAUAGUAACUACGCAUAGGCCUGGCUCAUGAUGCCACUGUUGGGAAUCGUAGCAUAAUUUAAAAUUUUCCUACGCUCACCAAGAUGCAUCUAUGGAGUCUACUAGCAACGAGGGGAAAGGAGUGGAUCUACAUACCCUUGUAGAUCGCGAGCGGAAGCGUUCCAAUGAACGUGGAUGACGGAGUCGUACUCGCCGUGAUCCAAAUCACCGAUGACCGAGUGCCGAACGGACGGCACCUCCGGGUUCAACACACGUACGGUGCAGCGACGUCUCCUCAUUUCUUGAUCCAGCAAGGGGGGAGGAGAGGUUGAUGGAGAUCCAACAGCACGACGGCGUGGUGGUGGAUGUAGCGGCUCUCCGGCAGGGCUUCGCCGAGCUUCUGCGCGCGAGAGAGAGGUGUUGCAGGGGAGGAGGGAGGCGCCAAAGGCUGUAGUGUGCUGCCCUCCCUCCCCCCCCUUUAUAUAGGCCCCCAAGGGGGGUGCGCAGCCCUUGGAGAUGGGAUCUCCAAGGGGGGGGCGGCGCCCAAGGGGGAAGGGGUUGCCUUGCCCCCCAAGGCAAGGGGAAACUCCCCCCCCCCUAGGGUUCCCAACCCUAGGCGCAUGGGGGGGAGGCCCAAAGUGGUGCCCCAGCCCAUUAGGGGCUGGUUCCCCUCCACUUUCAGCCCACGGGGCCCUCCGGGACAGGUGGCCCCACCCGGUGGACCCCCGGGACCCUUCCGGUGGUCCCGGUACAAUACCGAUAACCCCCGAAACUUUCCCGGUGGCCAAAACUGGACUUCCUAUAUAUAAUUCUUCACCUCCGGACCAUUCCGGAACCUCUCGUGACGUCCGGGAUCUCAUCCGGGACUCCGAACAACUUUCGGGUUUCCGCAUACAUAUAUCUCUACAACCCUAGCGUCACCGGACCUUAAGUGUGUAGACCCUACGGGUUCGGGAGACAUGCAGACAUGACCGAGACGCCUCUCCGGUCAAUAACCAACAGCGGGAUCUGGAUACCCAUGUUGGCUCCCACAUGUUCCACGAUGAUAUCAUCGGGUGAACCACAGUGUCGAGGAUUCAAUCAAUCCGUAUGCAAUUCCCUUUGUCAAUCGGUAUGUUACUUGCCCGAGAUUCGAUCGUCGGUAUCCCAAUACCUAGUUCAAUCUCGUUACCGGCAAGUCUCUUUACUCGUACCGCAAUGCAUGAUCCCGUGACUAACGCCUUAGUCACAUUGAGCUCAUUAUGAUGAUGCAUUACCGAGUGGGCCCAGAGAUACCUCUCCGUCACACGGAGUGACAAAUCCCAGUCUCGAUCCGUGCCAACCCAACAGACACUUUCGGAGAUACCCGUAAUGCACCUUUAUAGUCACCCAGUUACGUUGUGACGUUUGUCACACCCAAAGCACUCCUACGGUAUCCGGGAGUUGCACGAUCUCAUGGUCUAAGGAAAAGAUACUUGACAUUGGAAAAGCUCUAGCAAACGAAACUACACGAUCUUUUAUGCUAUGCUUAAGUUGGGUCUUGUCCAUCACAUCAUUCUCCUAAUGAUGUGAUCCCGUUAUCAAUGACAUCCUAUGUCCAUAGUCAGGAAACCAUGACUAUCUGUUGAUCAACGAGCUAGUCAACUAGAGGCUUACUAGGGACAGGUUGUGGUCUAUGUAUUCACACAUGUAUUACGAUUUCCGGACAAUACAAUUAUAGCAUGAAUAAUAGACUAUUAUCAUGAACACAGAAAUAUAAUAAUAACCAUUUAUUAUUGCCUCUAGGGCAUAUUUCCAACAGAAGAUAGUCUCACAUCAACUAGGCAUAUCAACGGGCUAUGGAGAUGCCCAUUAAUAGAUAUCAAUGUGAGUGAGUAGGGAUUGCCAUGCAACGGAUGCACUAGAGCUAUAAGUGUAUGAAAGCUCAACAAAAGAACUAAGUGGGUGUGCAUCCAACUUGCUUGCUCACGAAGACCUAGGGCAAUUUGAGGAAGCCCAUCAUUGGAAUAUACAAGCCAAGUUCUAUAAUGUAAAAUUCCCACUAGUAUAUGAAAGUGACAACAUAGGAGACUCUCUAUCAUGAAGAUCAUGGUGCUACUUUGAAGCACAAGUGUGGUAAAAGGAUAGUAGCAUUGCCCCUUCUCUCUUUUUCUCUCAUUUUUUUAUUUUUUUAUUUGGCCUUUUCUCUUUUUUUUGGCCUCUCCCUUUUUUUUAGUCCGGAGUCUCAUCCCGACUUGUGGGGGAAUCAUAGUCUCCAUCAUCCUUUCCUCACUAGGACAAUGCUCUAAUAAUGAUGAUCAUCACACUUUUAUUUACUUACAACUCAAGAAUUACAACUCAAUACUUAGAACAAGAUAUGACUCUAUAUGAAUGCCUCCGGCGGUGUACUGGGAUGUGCAAUGACUCAUGAGUGACAUGUAUGAAAGAAUUAUGAACGGUGGCUUUGCCACAAAUACGAUGUCAACUACAUGAUCAUGCAAAGCAAUAUGACAAUGAUGAAGCGUGUCGUAAUAAACCGAAUGGUGGUAAGUUGCAUGGCAAUAUAUCUCGGAAUGGCUAUGGAAAUGCCAUAAUAGGUAGGUAUGGUAGCUGUUUUGAGGAAGGUAUAUGGUGGGUGUAUGAUACCGGCGAAAGGUGCGCGGUAUUAGAGAGGCUAGCAAUGGUGGAAGGGUGAGAGUGCGUAUAAUCCAUGGACUCAACAUUAGUCAUAAAGAACUCACAUACUUGUUGCAAAAAUCUACAAGUUAUCAAAGCAAAGUAUUACGCGCAUGCUCCUAGGGGGAUAGAUCUAGGAAAAGACCAUCGCUCGUCCCCGACCGCCACUCAUAAGGAAGACAAUCAAUAAAUAAAUCAUUCUCCGACUUCAUCACAUAACGGUUCACCAUACGUGCAUGCUACGGGAAUCACAAACUUCAACACAAGUAUUCCUCAAAUUCACAACUACUCAACUAGCAUGACUCUAAUAUCACCAUCUUCAUAUCUCAAAUCAAUCAUAAAGAAUAAAACUUCUCUUAGUAUUCAAUGCACUUUAUAUGAGAGUUUUUAUUAUACCCAUCUUGGAUGCCUAUCAUAUUAGGACUAAAUUCAUAAUCAAAGCAAAUUACCAUGCUGUUUAGGACUCUCAAAAUAAUAUAAGUGAAGCAUGAUACUUCAUCUAUUUCUUCAAAAUAAAACCACUGCCGUGCUCUAAAACGAUGUAAGUGAAGCACUAGAGCAAACGACAAACUACUCCGAAAGAUAUAAGUGAAGAUCAAUGAGUAGUUAAAUAAUUAUGCAACUAUGUGAAGACUCUCUAACAUUUAAGAAUUUCAGAUCUUGAUAUUUUAUUCAAACAGCAAGCAAAACAAAAGAAAAUAAAAUGACGCUCCAAGCAAAACACAUAUCAUGUGGUGAAUAAAAAUAUAGCUCCAAGUAAAGUUACCGAUGAACGAAGACGAAAGAGGGGAUGCCUUCCGGGGCAUCCCCAAGCUUAGGCUUUUGGUUGUCCUUGAAUAUUACCUUGGGGUUCCUUGGGCAUCCCCAAGCUUAGGCUCUUGCCACUCCUUAUUCCAUAGUCCAUCGAAUCUUUACCCAAAACUUGAAAACUUCACAACACAAAACUUAACAGAAAAUCUCGUAAGCUCUGUUAGCGAAAGAAAACAAAACACCACUUCAAGGUACUGUAAUGAACUCAUUAUUUAUUUAUAUUGGUGUUAAACCUACUGUAUUACAACUUUUCUAUGGUUUAUAAACAAUUUUACUAGCCAUAGAGUCAUCAAAAUAAGCAAACAACACACGAAAAGCAGAAUCUGUCAAAAACAGAACAGUCUGUAGUAAUCUGUAACUAACGCAAACUUAUGGAACUCAAAAAGUUCUACCAAAAUAGGACGAACUAGAUAAUUUGAUUAUUGAUCUGCUGCAAUUGGAAUCAGUAUUUUAUCACGUUUUGGUGAUUUUAAACAAUUGUUUUCGUGAACAGAAAGUUUCUGGAAUUUUCAACAAGAUCAAAUAACUAUCAUCCAAGAAGAUCCUAUAGGUUUAACUUGGCACAAACACUAAUUAAAACAUAAAACCACAUCUAACCAUAGGCUAGAUAGAUUAUUUAUUCCUAAACAGAACCAAAAAGAAAGAACAAAAAUAAAAAUUGGGUUGCCUCCCAACAAGCGCUAUCGUUUAACGCCCCUAGCUAGGCAUGAUGAUUUCAAUGAUGCUCACAUAAGAGAUAAGAAUUGAAAUAUAAAGAAAGCAUCAUGAAGAAUAUGACUAGCACAUUUAAGUCUAACCCACUUCCUAUGCAUAGGGAUUUUAUGAGCAAACAACUUAUGGGAACAAUAAUCAACUAGCAUAGGAAGGCAAAACAAGCAUAACUUCAAAACUUUCAACACAUAGAGGGGAAACUUGAUAUUAUUGCAAUAUGUAGAAGCAUAUGAUCCUCUCUCAUAAUAAUUUUCAGUAGCAUCAUGAAUGAAUUCAACAAUAUAACCAUCACAUAAAGCAUUCUUUUCAUGAUCUACUUGCAUAGAAAUUUUACUACUCUCCACAUAAGCAAAAUUCUUCUCAUUCGGAAUAGUGGGAGUAUCAUAAGAGAUUUGAAUACUAUAAAUUGUUUCCACAUUAAAAGAGUAAUGUUCAGAAAAAGGGUAAUCAUAAUCAUGACAAGUUUUAUAAAUAUAAUCAUCACUACUUUUUAUAGCAUAAGUUUCAUCACAAUAAUCAUCAUAAGUAGCAACUUUGUUCUCAUCAUAACCGAUUGAAACCUCUUCCAAGAUAGUGGACUCGUCACUAAAUAAAGUCAUGACCUCUCCAAAUCCACUUUCAUAAAUAUUAUAGGAUUGAACAUCCUCCAAAAUAGUGGGAUCAUUACUUCCUAAAGUUGACACUCUUCCAAACCCACUUUCAUCAAUAUAAUCAUCAUAGGUAGGAGGCAUGCUAUCAUCAUUAUAAAUUUGCAUAUCAAAACUUUGGAGGCUAAUAACAUCAUCUUCAUUAAACAUAGCAUCCCCAAGCUUGGGACAAACAUUAAUUUCAGCAAAUAUAUUCUCAAAUAUGUCAUCUUCAUCAAACAUAGCUUCCCCAAGCUUGGGCCUUUUCAUAUCAUAAGCAUAAUCAUUCUCAUCAUUAAUAGUAUGGAUAGCACCAAUAGUAUAGCAAUUAUCAUCAUCACAAUGAGUAGUAGGAGCAACAUCACUUGGGAGGGAUACCUUUUUAACUUUGCUUCUCCGUUUUUUUUCUUUUUCUUCUUCACAUCAUGUGCGGGUUUAUCCCUCUUUUUUGAGCUCCUUAUUGAUGAGAUUGGUUGAAUAGAAAACUCCUCCUCGUUACCUGAUUCAUCAUAAGAAAUAAUAGGAGGAUAUUGGGAAGUCUCUUCCCUUUCAUUAGUAUUCUCUUCAUCUUCUAUUUGUUUUCUUUUCUUUAUGUAAUUGGCAAUAUAAGGAUUUUCAAUGCAAUUCACCGCACAAUACAUAUAAAUUUCUUCUAGAUCAAUAUCGAGGAAUUUCUCGAGGUUAUAUUCUGGAAUAAUCUUAGUUCGACGUUUCAUUUCUUCAUAACCCAAAAGCAAACUAAGUUCACUAUAGUGUGCAAGGGAAAUCAAGUCAUCACAAUUUUUGGACACGAUUCGAUCAUGAAACAAUUUGCAUUUGAUAUUUAAAUGACCAUGUUCAUUGCAAAGUUCACAAGUAUGGCUAAGAAAUUUUAAAUUUUCAGCACUAACAUUUAGCCUUUCUUGUAACCAUUUAGUUUCUAAAUGCUUAUCCCUCUUGCAAUAUCUAUCUUCCCUAUUUGGUGUGUACUUGCAAACCCAAUGCACUCCACAAAAAUUGACAUGUUUAUAGGAGACAUUUUCAUCAUAACUAGUGCAAUCAUCAUUAGUACUAUGGAUAUUCAAGGAGUUCAUACUAACAACAUUGCAAUCAUGCUCAUCAUUCAAAGAUUUAGUGCCAAACAUUUUAAUGCAUUCUUCUUCUAACACUUUGGCACAAUUUUCCUUCCCAUCAUACUCACAAAAGAUAUUAAAAAGAUGAAGCGUAUAAGGUAAACUCAAUUCCAUUUUUUGUAGUUUUCUUUUAUAAACUAAACUAGUGAUAAAACAACAAACUAAAAGAUUCGAUUGCAAGAUCUAAAGAUAUACCUUCAAGCACUAACCUCCCCGGCAACGGCGCCAGAAAAGAGCUUGAUGUCUACUACGCAACCUUCUUCUUGUAGACGUUGUUGGGUCUCCAAGUGCAGAGGUUUGUAGGACAGUAGUAAAUUUCCCUCAAGUGGAUGACCUAAGGUUUAUCAAUCCGUGGGAGGUGUAGGAUCAAGAUGGUCUCUCUCAAACAACCCUACAACCAAAUAAAAAAGAGUCUCUUGUGUCCCCAACACACCCAAUACAAUGGUAAAUUCUAUAGGUGCACUAGUUCGGCGAAGAGAUGGUGAUACAAGUGCAAUAUGGAUGAUAGAUAUAGGUUUUUGUAAUCUAAAAAUAUAAAACAGCAAGGUAACUAAUGAUAAAAGUGAGCGUAAACGGUAUUGCAAUGCUAGGAAACAAGGCCUAGGGUUCAUACUUUCACUAGUGCAAGUUCUCUCAACAAUAAUAACAUAAUUGGAUCAUAUAACUAUCCUUCAACAUGCAACAAAGAGUCACUCCAAAGUCACUAAUACCUGAGAACAAACGAAGAGAUUAUGGUAGGGUACGAAACCACCUCAAAUUUAUCCUUUCUGGUCGAUCUAUUCAAGAGUCCGUAGUAAAAUAACAUGAAGCUAUUCUUUCCGUUCGAUCUAUCAUAGAGUUCGUACUAUAAUAACACCUUAAGACACAAAUCAACCAAAACCCUAAUGUCACCUAGAUACUCCAAUGUCACCUCAAGUAUCCGUGGGUAUGAUUAUACGAUAUGCAUCACAUAAUCUCAUAUUCAUCUAUUGAACUAACACAAAGAACUUCAAAGAGUGCCCCAAAGUUUCUACCGGAGAGUCAAGACGAAAACGUGUGCCAACCCCUAUGCAUAAGUUCACGAGGUCACUGAACCCGCAAGUUGAUCACCAAAACAUACAUCAAGUAGAUCACGUGAUAUCCCAUUGUCACCACAGAUAAGCACAUGCAAGACAUACAUCAAGUGUUCUCAAAUCCUUAAAGACUCAAUCCGAUAAGAUAACUUCAAAGGGAAAACUCAAUCCAUUACAAGAGAGUAGAGGGGGAGAAACAUCAUAAGAUCCAACUAUAAUAGCAAAGCUCGCGGUACAUCAAGAUCGUACCACCUCAAGAACACGAGAGAGAGAGAGAGAGAGAGAGAGAUCAAACACAUAGCUACUGGUACAUACCCUCAGCCCUGAGGGUGAACUAUUCCCUCCUCGUCAUGGAGAGCGUCGGGAUGAUGAAGAUGGCCACGGGUGAUGGAUCCCCCCUCCGGCAGGGUGCCCGAACAGGGUCCCGAUUGGUUUUUGGUGGCUACAGAGGCUUGCGGCGGCGGAACUCCCGAUCUAUUCUCUUCCCCGAAGGAUUUAGGGUAUAUGGAGAUAUAUAGGCGAAAGAAGUCGGUAAGGGGAGCCACGAGGGGCCCACAAGGGUGGAGGGCGCUCCCAGGGGGUGGGCGCGCCCCCUGCCUCGUGCUCUCCUCAUUGAUCCCCUAACAUGCACUCCAAGUCUACCGGAUUGCUUUCUUUCCAAAAAUAACUCUCCUGAAGAUUUCAUUCCGUUUGGACUCCGUUUGAUAUUCCUUUUCUUCGAAACACUGAAACAAGGGAAAAAACAGGAACUAGCACUAGGCUCUGGGUUAAUAGGUUAGUCCCAAAAAUAAUAUAAAAGUGUUUAAUAAAGCCCAUUAAACAUCCAAAAGAGAUAAUAUAAUAGCAUGGAACAAUCAAAAAUUAUAGAUACGUUGGAGACGUAUCAGACGGUUGUCGGGACAAGUCCGGAGCUAUCACCCCUCCUGGGUGAUACCGCUAAACAGCCAGCCGCCACCGUCACAUCGCACGGGUGCUCUCCGGGCCUGCCCGGCUUUCACAACGGUCUCAAGUAAAGUCAAGGUAACUGUGUGUCCAGACAUCAAGGGGAAAACCCGAGGAAUCACCCCCGGUGGAUUCCACUCGAUGUAAUCAUCAAGGUGAACGUAAGGGGAACCACCCUUGAGGUUCACACUUGAGGUGUUGCACAACAGAGCCGUAUCAGAAAUGGUUAAGGAGGAAAUCACCCUCGAUGACCACGACCAAAUAGCUACACUACAGAGAUCUCAUCAGGAGUGAUGUAUGAGGUUCCACCCUCGGCACUCAAUGGUAACUGAUACGUCUCCAACGUAUCUAUAAUUUUUUAUUGUUCCAUGCUAUACUAUAUUCUAUUUUGGAUGAUUAAUGGGCUUUAUUAUACACUUUUAUAUUAUUUUUGGGACUAACCUAUUAACCGGAGGCCCAGCCCAAAUUGCUGUUUUUUUGCCUAUUUCAGUGUUUCGUAGAAAAGGAAUAUCAAACGGAGUCCAAACGGAAUGAAACCUUCGGGAACGUGAUUUUCGGAACAAACCUGAUCCAGAGGACUUAGAGUGGACGUCAAGCAACAGACGAGGAAGCCACGAGGUAGGGGGGCACGCCUACCCCCCCUCGGCGCGCCCUCCACCCUCGUGGGCCCCUCGUGGCUCCACCGACCUACUUCUUCCUCCUAUAUAUACCUACGUACCCCCAAACCAAUAGAAGCGACCACGAAAACCUAAUUCCACCGCCGCAACCUUCUGUGCCCGUGAGAUCCCAUCCUGGGGCCGUUUCCGGCGUCCAGCCGGAGGGGGCAUUGAUCACGGAGGGCUUCUACAUCAACACCAUAGCCUCUCCGAUGAUGUGUGAGUAGUUUACCUCAGACCUUCGGGUCCAUAGUUAUUAGCUAGAUGGCUUCUUCUCUCUCUUUGGAUCUCAAUACAAAGUUCUCCUCGAUUCUCUUGGAGAUAUAUUUGAUGUAACUCUUCUUUUGCGGUGUGUUUGUCGAGAUCCGACGAAUUGUGGGUUUAUGAUCAAAUUCAUCUAUGAACAAUAUUUGAAUCUCCUCUAAAUUCUUUUAUGUAUGAUUGGUUAUCUUUGCAAGUCUCUUCAAAUUAUCAGUUUGGUUUGGCCUACUAGAUUGAUCUUUCUUGCAAUGGGAGAAGUGCUUAGCUUUGGGUUCAAUCUUGCGGUGUCCUUUCCCAGUGACAGCAGGGGCAGCAAGGCACGUAUUGUAUUGUUGCCAUCGAGGAUAAAAAGAUGGGGUUUAUAUCAUAUUGCAUGAGUUUAUCCCUCUACAUCAUGUCAUCUUGCUUAAAGCGUUACUCUGUUCUUAUGAACUUAAUACUCUAGAUGCAUGCUGGAUAGCGGUCGAUGUGUGGAGUAAUAGUAGUAGAUGCAGAAUCGUUUCAGUCUACUUGUAACGGACGUGAUGCCUAUAUACAUGAUCAUACCUAGAUAUUCUCAUAACUAUGCUCAGUUCUAUCAAUUGCUCGACAGUAAUUCGUUUACCCACCGUAAUAUUUAUGCUAUCUUGAGAGAAGCCACUAGUGAAACCUAUGGCCCCCGGGUCUAUUUUCCAUCAUAUUAAUCUCCCGUUAUUUCCAUUACUAUUUACCUUGCAAUCUUUACUUUUACCCUUUAUCAUAAAAAUACCAAAAAUAUUAUCUUAUCAUCUCUAUCAGAUCUCACUCUCGUAAGUGACCGUGAAGGGAUUGACAACCCCUUUAUCGUGUUGGUUGCGAGGUUCUUAUUUGUUUGUGUAGGUGCGUGGGACUCGAGCGUAGUCUCCUACUGGAUUGAUACCUUGGUUCUCAAAAACUAAGGGAAAUACUUACGCUACUUUACUGCAUCACCCUGUCCUCUUCAACAGAAAACCAACACAGUGCUCAAGAGGUAGCAAGAAGGAUUUCUGGCGCCGUUGCCGGGGAGGUGUGCGCCAAGUCAAGUCAAGAUUUGAACUCCCGACAACGAGCCAUUUCUGGCGCCGUUGCCGGGGAGUCUACGCACAAGUCAAGACAUACCAAGUACCCAUCACAAACUCUUAUCCCUCGCAUUACAUUAUUUGCCAUUUGCCUCUCGUUUUCCUCUCCCCCACUUCACCCUUGCCGUUUUAUUCGCCCCUCUUUCGUUCGUCUUUUUUGUUUGCUUGUGUUGCCAUGUGCCUUCUAUGUGCUUGCAUCUUCGCUUGCUAAAAAUCUAUUGUUAUGGAUCCUCAUCCACUUGCUAAUAUCUUUAAGAGAUCCAAUUAUGAUGAACCUAUUACUAGUGAGUUGAGUGCACUAGACUAUCUUUAUGAGGUUUUGCUUGAAAUUCGUGAAUCUAAAAAUUGUGAUGAAGUACUUUAUGAAGCGAUUCAUGAUAGAUCUUUGAAUAAAAAGCAUGCUUGCAAUGAUUUUAUUAUAAAUUAUAUUGAUGUAAAUUGUGCUAAUAAUAUGCAUAACCCUAAGCUUGGGGAUGCUAGUUUUGCUAUGUCCACUACUUGUUGCAAUGAUCAUGAUUGGAGUGAUUCUUCUUAUGAUCUUGAAAAUUUAUUUAAGCCCCAUGAUGAAUAUGAGAUUGAUAAUAAUAUUUGCAAUAAUAUUGAAAGUGGGUUUGUAAGAGUGUCAACUUUAGAUCCCACAUAUUUGAAGAAUGUUCAAUCUUAUGAAAUUUUUCAUAAAAGUGGGUUUGGAGAGGUCAUGACUUUAGUUAAUGUUAAUCCCACUAUUUUGGAAGAGUGUCAACUUUACAUGCAGGUGGACCGUGUUGAAAAUACUUUAUGUGAUAGCUGUUUUGUUGAAUUUGCUUAUGAUCCCACAUGUAAUUAUUAUGAGAGAGUAAAAUAUGGUUGUAGAAAUUUUCAUGAUAAUAAAUUACUUGUCGUUAUGUUGAGAUUGGUAUUGUUUCUUUCCGCUUCCUUGCAUAUGCUAGUUUUUGCUUGCUAUGAUAAUUUGUUUGCCUAUAAGAUGCCUAUGCAUAGGAAGUAUGUUAGACUUAGAUGUGUUUGUCACGUGUUUCAUGAUGCUCUCUUUGCGCUUCAAUUCUUGUCUUUCAUGUGAGCAUCAUUGAAUUCAUCAAUGCCUAGCUAGGGGCGUUAAACGAUAGCACUUGUUGGGAGGCAACCCAAUUUUAUUUUAGUUUUUUUGCUUUUUGCUCCUGUUUAGUAAUAAAUCUUUGAUCUAGCCUCUGGUUAGAUUUUUUGUGUGUUUUAAUUAGUGUUUGUGCCAAGUUAAACCUAUAGGAUCUUCUUGGAUGAUAGUUAUUUGAUCUUGCUGAAAAUUCCAGAAACUUUCUGUUCACGAAAACAAUUGUUAAAAAUCACCAGAACGUGAUAAAAUACUUAUUCCAAUUGCAGUAGAUCAAUAAAAAAUUUAUCUAGGUCGUCCUAUUUUGGUGGAUUUUUCUGAGUUCCAGAAGUUUGCGUUAGUUACAGAUUACUACAGACUGUUCUGUUUUUGACAGAUUCUGUUUUUCGUGUGUUGUUUGCUUAUUUUGAUGAAUCUAUGGCUAGUAAAAUAGUUUAUAAACCAUAGAGAAGUUGGAAUAUAGUAGGUUUAACACCAAUAUAAAUAAAGAAUGAGUUCAAUACAGUACCUUGAAGUGGUGUUUUGUUUUCUUUCGCUAACGGAGCUCACGAGAUUUUCUGUUAAGUUUUGUGUUGUGAAGUUUUCAAGUUUUGGGUAAAGAUUUGAUGGAUUAUGGAACAAGGAGUGGCAAGAGCCUAAGCUUGGGGAUGCCCAAGGCACCCCAAGGUAAAUCCAAGGACACCAAAAAGCCAAAGCUUGGGGAUGCCCCGGAAGGCAUCCCCUCUUUCGUCUUCGUGCAUCGGUAACUUUACUUGGAGCUAUAUUUUUAUUCACCACAUGAUAAGUGUUUUGCUUGGAGCGUCUUGUAUGAUUUGUGUCUUUGCUUUUUAGUUUACCACAAUCAUUCUUUCUGUACACACCUUUUGAGAGAGACACACAUGAUUCGGAAUUUAUUAGAAUACUCUAUGUGCAUCACUUAUACCUUUUGAGCUAUAUAGUUUUUGCUCUAGUGCUUCACUUAUAUCUUUUAGAGCAUGACAGUGGUUUUGUUUUAUAGAAACUAUUGUUCUCUCAUGCUUCACUUAUAUCAUUGUGAGAGUCCUAUAAAACGACAUGGUAAUUUGCUUAAAUUGAGAAAUUAGUCCUAAUAUGAUAGGCAUCCAAGAUUAGUAAAAACUUUCUUAUAAGUGCGUUGAAUACUAAGAAAAGUUCGAUGCUUGAUGAUUGUUUUUGAGAUAUGGAGGUAUUGAUAUUAAAGUUGUGCUAUUUGAGUAGUUGUGAAUUUGAGAAAUACUUGCGUUGAAGUUUGCAAGUCUCGUAGCAUGCACGUAUGGUAAAGUUGUGUAACAAAUUUGAAACAUGAGGUGUUCUUUGAUUGUCCUCCUUAUGAGUGGCGGUCGGGGACGAGUGAUGGUCUUUUCCUACCAAUCUAUACCCCUAGGAGCAUGCGCGUAGUGCUUGGUUUUUGAUGACUUGUAGAUUUUUUCAAUAAGUAUGUGAGUUCUUUAUGACUAAUGUUGAGUCCAUGGAUUAUACGCACUCUCACCCUUACAUCAUUGCUAGCCUCUUCGGUACCGUGCAUUGCCCCGUGAUACGAUACCUAUCUAUUAUGGCAUUUCCAUAGCCAUUCCGAGAUAUAUUGCCAUGCAACUUUCCACCGUUCCGUUUAUCAUGACACGUUUCAUCAUUGUCAUAUUGCCUUGCAUGAUCAUGUAGUUGACAUUGUAUUUGUGGCAAAGCCACCAUGCAUAUUAUUCAUACAUGUCACUCUUGAUUCAUUGCCCAUCCCGGUACACCGCCGGAGGCAUUCAUAUAGAGUCAUACUUUGUUCUAGUAUCGAGUUGUAAUCAUUGAGUUGUAAAUAAAUAGAAGUGUGAUGAUCAUCAUUCAUAGAGCAUUGUCCCAAAAAAAAGGCCAAAAAAAGAAAGGCCCAAAAAAAGAUAAAAAUAAAAAGGGGCAAUGUUACUAUCCUUUUUCCAUACUUGUGCUUCAAAGUAGCACCAUGGUCUUUUUGAUAGAAAGUCUCUUGUUUUGUCACUUUCAUAUACUAGUGGGAAUUUUUCAUUAUAGAACUUGGUUUGUAUAUUCCAACAAUGGGCUUCCUCAAAUGCCCUAGGUCUUCGUGAGCAAGCAAGUUGGAUGCAUACCCACUUAGUUUCUUUUGUUGAGCUUUCAUGCAUUUAUAGCUCUAGUGCAUCCGUUGCAUGGCAAUCCCUACUCCUUGCGUUGACAUCAAUCGAUGGGCAUCUCCCUAGCUCGUUGAUUAGCCGCGUCAAUGUGAGACUUUCUCCUUUUUGGUCUUCUCCACAUAACCCCCAUCAUCAUAUUCUAUUCCACCCAUAGUGCUAUAUCCAUGGCUCACGCUCAUAUAUUGCCUGAAAGUUGAAAAAAGUUUGAGAUUACUAAAGUAUGAAACAAUUGCUUGGCUUGUCAUCGGGGUUGUGCAUGAUGAGAACAUUCUUGUGUGACGAAAAUGGAGCAUGACCAAACUAUAUGAUUUUGUAGGGAUGAACUUUCUUUGGCCAUGUUAUUUUGAGAAGACAUAAUUACUUAGUUAGUAUUCUUGAUGUCAAUAUUAAACAUUUAUCUUGAAUCUUUCGGAUCUGAAUAUUCAUACCACAAAUAAGAGAAUUACAUUGAAAAUUAGGCUAAGUAGCAUUCCACAUCAAAAAUUCUGUUUUUAUCAUUUACCUACUCAAGGACGAGCAGGAAUUAAGCAUGGGGAUGCUUGAUACGUCUCCAACGUAUCUAUAAUUUUUUAUUGUUCCAUGCUAUAUUAUAUUCUGUUUUGGAUGAUUAAUGGGCUUUAUUAUACACUUUUAUAUUAUUUUUUGGACUAACCUAUUAACCGGAGGCCCGGCCCAAAUUGCUGUUUUUUUUGCCUAUUUCAGUGUUUCGCAGAAAAAGAAUAUCAAACGGAGUCCAAACGGAAUGAAACCUUCGGGAACGUGAUUUUCGGAACAAACGUGGUCCCGAGGACUUGGAGUGGACGUCAAGCAAUAGACGAGGAAGCCACGAGGUAGGGGGCGCGCCCUCCACCCUCGUGGGCCCCUCGUGGCUCCACCGACCUACUUCUUCCUCCUAUAUAUACCUACGUACCCCCAAACCAACAGAAGCGACCACGAAAACCUAAUUCCACCGCCGCAACCUUCUGUACCCGUGAGAUCCCAUCUUGGGGCCUUUUCCGGCGUCCUGCCAGAGGGGGCAUUGAUCACGGAGGGCUUCUACAUCAACACCAUAGCCUCUCUGAUGAUGUGUGAGUAGUUUACGUCAGACCUUCGAUUCCAUAGUUAUUAGCUAGAUGGCUUCUUCUCUCUCUUUGGAUCUCAAUACAAAGUUCUCCUUGAUUCUCUUGGAGAUCUAUUUGAUGUAACUCUUCUUUUGCGGUGUGUUUGUCGAGAUUCGAUGAAUUGUGGGUUUAUGAUCAAGUUUAUCUAUGAACAAUAUUUGAAUCUCCUCUGAAUUCUUUUAUGUACGAUUGGUUAUCUUUGCGAGUCUCUUUGAAUUAUCAGUUUGGUUUGGCCUACUAGAUUGAUCUUUCUUGCAAUGGGAGAAGUGCUUAGCUUUGGGUUCAAUCUUGCGGUGUCCUUUCCCAGUGACAGCAGGGGCAGCAAGGCACGUAUUGUAUUGUUGCCAUCGAGGAUAAAAAGAUGGGAUUUAUAUCAUAUUGCAUGAGUUUAUCCCUCUACAUCAUGUCAUCUUGCUUAAAGCGUUACUCUGUUCUUAUGAACUUAAUAUUCUAGAUGCAUGCUGGAUAGCGGUCGAUGUGUGGAGUAAUAGUAGUAGAUGCAGAAUCGUUUCGGUCUACUUGUCACGGACGUGAUGCCUAUAUACAUGAUCAUACCUAGAUAUUCUCAUAACUAUGCCCAAUUCUAUCAAUUGCUCGACAGUAAUUCGUUUACCCACCGUAAUAUUUAUGCUAUCUUGAGAGAAGCCACUAGUGAAACCUAUGGCCCCCGGGUCUAUUUUCCAUCAUAUUAAUCUCCCGUUAUUUCCAUUACUAUUUACCUUGCAAUCUUUACUUUUACCCUUUAUCAUAAAAAUACCAAAAAUAUUAUCUUAUCAUCUCUAUCAGAUCUCACUCUCGUAAGUGACCGUGAAGGGAUUGACAACCCCUUUAUCGCGUUGGUUGCGAGGUUCUUAUUUGUUUGUGUAGGUGCGUGGGACUCGAGCGUAGUCUCCUACUGGAUUGAUACUUGGUUCUCAAAAACUGAGGGAAAUAUUUACGCUACUUUACUGCAUCACCCUUUCUUCUUCAAGGGAAAACCAACGCAGUGCUCAAGAGGUAACAGUAACCCUGCAGAGUCGAGCAACAAAAGGGGCGUCAUGUGAUGUGAGGUGUCAGGCUGGUCAUUGAUCACGUUGAUCGAGUCGUCGAUGAUGAAGCAGGGGCAACAAGGACAAGGUGGGGGUCACUGAUGGAUCACUAACCAACCUAUACUAAGCAGUUUAGGAUAAGCAGGUAGAUAACAAUAGCAGGUACAAAAGCAGGCUAUGCAUCAGAAUAGGAGCAAUCAAAUACAUUAGCAAAAUCUAAUGCAAGCAUGAGAGAAUGGAAUGGGCGGUAUCGGGAUGAUCAAAGGGGGGCUUGCCUGGAAGCUCCGUUGAAAGGGAAGAAGGGUCGUCGUCGACGUAGUCGAUCACAGGGGCAUCAGCAGCGGUCUCGGGGUCUACCGGAGAGAAGAGGGGGAAGAAACAGUAAAUAUAAUGCAAACAGAUGCAUGACGGGGUAACACGCUGGGCUAGGGGCGUUAUAACGCAAUGCUACACGAUACCGGCGAAGGGGGAUAACAUCCGGAAAGUUUUUCCGAAGUUUGGCAUUUUCGGAUAGACGAACCGGAGGGGAAAGGUUGCAUGUUUGCUAUGCUAAGAACGUGUGACAGACGAACGGACAGCGUAUUCGGAUUCGUCAUAUUUUUCUGAGCAACUUUCAUGUAUAAAACUUUUUCAUCCGAUUUACGGAUUAAUUUAUAUGAUUUUUCAAAGUUUUAAUAAUAUUCUAAAAUUAAUAUUAAUUCAAAAAUAAUGAGUAAAUGCUAGGUGUACCCAGAUCUGUGUACACAGAAGUGUACCAGAGGGUGACAUGUGGGCCAGGCGGACCCGGUUGACCCAGUCAACAACCCAGUCAGAGUUGACCGGUCAAAGUGAGCAGUAUCAGUGGGACCCAGCUGUCAUAGACAAUUGCUAACUUUAUUUUGGUUAUUUAUUUUAAUCUCCAGGGGACCUACAUGUCAUUGACUUACUUUAAGUUGGAUUAAAUUAAUGGACUUAACUAAGCCAGGGUCCCACAUGGCAUAGACUAAAUUAGCCCUAGCUAAAUUAAAAAAACACUAAACUAAUCAAAUGAUAAUCCUAGCCUAAUUAAACGGGCCGGCCAGAGGCACAGCCAUGCCCAUGGCUGGGCAUGCACGCGCAUGAGUGCACGGCAGCCUGGCCAAAAGGGCUCGCGUGGGUGGUGGCUAGGAGCAGCAGCCUGUGGCUGCGAGCAAGCGGGCUGAUGCGCGCGUGUGCGCAGGGCCGGUGCGGCUCGGGCGCUAGCAGGGCGUGGUGCGGGCAGCAGCAUGCGGCAACGCAACAGCCAGCACGUAGCGGCGGCAACGACAGCAUGCAGUUGCGGCGAGCACAGCUGUGCGCCGGCGCGGGCAGCUGCGAGGGCGCGGCCAGGGAGCAGCAGUGCGGCAGCAGGAGCAGUGGUGAGCAGGCAGUAGCAGCAGCGGCUCAAGCACGCACGUACGCGUACGCAUACGCGUACGCGGGAGCUCCGACAAGCUCGGGGACGGCGACUACGGCAUCAAAUCGAGGCGGGAAGAAGGGGGGGUUCGGGGGAGGUGCUUACCGCGAGCACGUAGGGGAGGUCGGGGAGGCCGGAGGUUGCCGGGAUGGUGCGGAUCGAACGGCGUCGUCCGACAGCCGUGGCGGAGGAAGAAGACGCGUGCGUCGUCGAUGCAGCGCCUACGCCCCGAUCUGCUGGUGUAGUCGAUGAAGGUGACGGCGGCGCGCCUCCUGGACACGAUGGUUCGGCGCGGGGAGGCACGUGGCCGCGGGAUCGACGCAACGACGGCAACGUUGCGCUCGGUUGUGUGCGAGGAGAGGAAAACGAGCAAGGGGGGAAGGGAUUUUGAGGCUAGGGUUCGUCAGGCCUCAUUUAGUAAAGGGGAUUGAGAGGGUUUCUAGAGGAUCAACCCCGCGGGCCCAAAAACCUCUGAAAACCCCGCCCAUUUGUUUCACGUGGUUUCCCCAACCCAAUCCCUUCCAUUCCCCUUCGAUCCCCUUCAAUCCACGCGUCUCCUAAGCCUCGAGGGCACAGGCAGGGAACGAGAUGGCAAAGCGACGAUGCCGCCCCGCCGCCUCUUAUACAGUUAUAAGAUUUCUAGUCUUUAAACUAGUUUCCGGAUAGAGUCCAGAUCAAACUACCAACCACGAUAUAAUUUGUCUGUUAGUGGAUCCUAUCCGUCGAGUCCCCGAAGCACGCGCCUGUAAGCAACGCGUCAUAAUAGAGUAUAAAUUCCUCUAUUUACGUAGAUCAACAUUAGAGCCGUAAUCUAAUUACACGAUCUAGCUUCUUUCAAUUAUCAGCGUACCCGGAUAGUCUUUCCAAUAUAUAAAGCAUACUGUAUUCCAUCGAUAAUUGACCGGCUUCCUUAAGCAUGCAACACUUAAGUACAUUCCAGCAAGAGUAAUUCCAUGCACAAAACACAUGUAUAAUUCCAUAUGAGGUAUUCCGAAUAUUAAUGAUAAUAAGUAUUUGAAUAUAGUUGCAGGACACAUAAUUCCAACAUCACCCACUUUGUAUUAUCAUCAUUCUCUCUUCUCUAUACCAUUCCCUUGACCGUUACAUAGCAGCACUACUCACUGAAUUUUGUCGCUGGAUCACACAAUCAAACUGUCCAUGUAAGAUUUGGCACACAAGAUCAUCAAGAAGAGUCUCCUUCAAUUGCAUAUACAUGCGCAAAAAAGAAGUGCAAUUUAAAAAUUAACCCAAGUAGAUGUUGUACCUGAACCUCGUGUAGGAUUUGGGGGAGGUUGUCGGCGAGCCAGGCGUCGAAGUCCUCAUGCAA